AAUGCCAAAAUUGCUUGAAACAUCCUGCAAUUGGGUUAGUCCAUCCAAGUAUAUCCAUAUGACAUGCUUCCCACAAUCGUCCUAUAAACGUUCGGAAAUCGUAAUCGAUGGUCUCUGCUUUGCAGCAAGAGACAGGAGAACAAAUGACAAUGGACUAACCAAGAGGGCUGGUUACAGGUCGAGAGAUGCAGAAUAUAAUGUACAGCAGUAUUAUUCAACAUGGAGAAAGCAAAAUCUACACUUCAUAUAAGUCCUGGAUGAACAGGAUGAUAGGCCUUCCUUCCAUCAACUGAAGAGACCUUGUUACACAGCAUCAAGAAGAAGAAAAAUCUAACAGAAGUUUGGAGUAAGAACAGGCAGAAAUCACAAGGGAAGGCGCAAGGUGCGGCGCGCUUGCUUUUCAAGGUUGACAAAAUGGCACUUCACCCUUCGUUUUCCGUCUAACCAUCGCAUCGACGCAAUGUGAUGCUGUUGAUCCCUCUCAGCCUAUCUUCACCAGUGCCCUUGAUCUUCAACUCGCAUGUCGUCCUGAAGAAGUUCAAAACCGAACUCCCUUCCCAAUCCAAUCCCAGGAUAAUCUGAAGAAAUGUGGAUUCUGAAUCAUCAUUUCAUUAUUUAAUAGGAACAUGAGCUACCGCCUAUCUGAUGUUUCAGCAGGCAGAUAUGUUGAACUAACACAAUCUCUUGAUUGAAUUACUAUUGAUCAAAUUACCGACUGAUAGAUAAGACACUAAUAGCAAGUAAUGGCUCAUUCAAUCAUGGUUAAUUGGUUUGACAUUUAACUAGUAGCACGCUGGCAUAUGAAGAAGUUCAUACUCACGCGAGGCAUGUUUUUGCUUUUAGUUUCCUGGAAAUCUUCAUCGGAGCAUGAUACUCUAUUAUGCAAUGGGAUGUGAGCAUAAAAAUAUACAAACAGGGACGUUCUCAAAUGUCAACUUAACACUACAAUAUGUUUUGUUACUUACAUACUGAACUGUCUUUCAAUAACUUAUCAGAUGAAAAAGAUCGAUUAAUAUUAAUUAAUUACAGCUUAGGGAAAAGCGUUAAAAAAAAGUCCUAAACCUUUUGUAUUUGUGCCAAUUUAGUCAUAAACCUUUUUUUUUAUAUGUUAAUUUAGUUCUAAACCUUUUUACUUAGUGCCAAUUAAGUCAUUUCCAGCCAAUUUUGGCUGGAUUUUGUUAAUUGGACGCCGACCGGUUGACGUGGCCUAAUCAGUGCUGACAUUGACAACUUCUAAUGAUAUUAUAAUAAUUUCGAAUUUUUCUUUUUCUUUUUUCUUUUUUCCUUCCCUUCCUCCAACCGGUCGCCAGACCUCGGCGACCCGCCAUAGGCAACGGCCAGCGAGGUCGACCUUGCCGGCCACCUCACUGGUGGCUGCGAGGGCGGCCUCACGUUGGGCGGCAAGGCUCGCACUUGCCGGAUCCGACGAGGUCGAGCCUCACCCAUGGCCGGCAAGGCUCGGCCUCACCAGAUCUGGCAAGGGUGAGCCUCGCCAGUGUUGCCUAGGCCGCGAUCCGGCGAGGUCGAGCCUCGCUGGCCUUGGACAAGGCUCGACCCUUGCCGCCCAACAUGAGGUGGCCAGCGAGGUCGACCUCACCAGCCGUCGCCUUUGACCGGUCGCCGAGGUUCGGCGACAGGCUGGGGGAGGGGAAGGAAAAAAAGAAAAAAGAAAAAAAAAUUCAAAAAUAUUAAAAUAUUAUUAAAAGUUGUCAAUGUCAGCACCGAUCAGGCCACGUUAGCCGGCCAGCGUUUAGUCAGCAAAAUCCAACCAAAAUUGGCCGGAAAGGACUGAAUUGGCAUUAAGUAAAAAUGUUUAGAACUAAAUUGACACAAAUACAAAAAGGUUUAGGACUUUUUUUAAUUCUUUUCCCUUACAAUUUAUUACAAAGAUAAGAUAAAUUUUCAAACUUCGUUAGGACGUGGUUGUAGAUCGCAUGAAAUAAGAAAAGUUUAUUUUGGGCAAUUGAUUUUCUCAAGACUACUCCAUGUCCAAUCCUACAUGACAAGUCUUUCACACAGUCCGGAAAUUUGGAGCAUCAGGUUUCUCCUAGAAUUUUGGAGCCACAAACAAAUAAAAAGUACUAGCAUGUAGAUUCUUAUGCCACAAAACUAAGCUUUUAGCAAAUAGUCUUUGCUCUCAAAAGAAAAAAGAACUGCUAGAGUUGGUUGAUGAUGAUGUUUUAUAAAUCAAUGAGGAAUCAUAUAGUGCAUCAAACCGGGGACUUCAAUACCACCACAUUUUCAGAGUCCAUGUGAUAAUUGUUCUUUGAAUCUCUUCUUCACACUAGAAGAAGCACAGAUUAAGUAAAGUAUGACAAUGGGAAAGAGAAACGUUGCUGCAAGAAAACGGGAAAAAAGAAAUGAAGAAAACAACAAAAUUGAAAUAUUCAUCUUGGAGACUCUGCUGGAAAUAAUAAGGUCUACCAACUGUAGAUGCAGAGAAAAAGUGCAGUAUUUACUUUGGAGAAAGAAAUAAACCCAACCUCUUUCAAUUGGACAGAGAAAGCAUCCGGGCAGAUAGAGUUGAGAUCACAACAAACAUCAACCACCAUGUUAAUAUUGGUACAGACAGUCACAGCGCCUUGAGCAGCAACUUUUAGAGUGCUUCUCAUAGGGCCGAUCUAUCACACCCCGAAGUCUAUAGGGAUGUGGGUUACACGGCGUUCACCCGAAGGACGCAGUCUCAAAUCACCCAAAGUCCAACUCCAAAAGUCCCCAUGAUGACGCUUUCGCUCUCACGGUCACUAAUUGAGAGACCUAAAAAACAUUUAUAAGAAGAAAUGAAUGAGGUACCAUGGCCUAAUAAAUAAUACAUUUCUUCUAAGUGGAUCAAGCAAUCACUACACACAUCUAAAACACAAACAUAAUUCAUUUUCGCCAAAUCUAGAAAUUUAAUAAACCUUUUAGAUCAAAAUGCAAUAUUUCUUACCUUAACAUAAUAUGUUCAAUGCAAAAAUAUUUAAGAUAAUAACAAGCAAAUACCAAUAAUCCAGUCCAUUGGUCAUCUCAUAAAAAUAAAUGUCAAUGAUUUAUUUCAUUGACCAAUCUCAUAAAAACACAUGCAAAUCGGUUAAUCUCAUACCACACAUCAAUGGUUUAUUCUAUUGAUCCAUCUCAUAUGAACCCACACAUCGAUGGUCCACCCAUCGACCAAUCUUUUGCUUAAUAUCAAACCAUGGUCACGACACAACGCCCAAUAAUAAGGCGACCAAGAUCCCCCUUUGGUUAGGUCUUCACUUAUUAUUUGCCGGUGACUGGUACUAAACUAGUAUGCACAUACCCACAACCCCUCAUUGAGCUUAUAGCGAUAUUGACUAUCAACACCAAUCCACAAUAACCUCCAUAAUUCACAAAGCCAAAACAAAAUAUAGGUUUCGCAAAUCAGAACAUAUAAUCUUUCUGCAAACCAACUCAUUCACCAUAAAUACUUUUCGUAAAACAUUUCUUAAAUCAUUUUAGAACUCGUUUCUUAAACCAAAAUAAAUUUCACUUACCUUUUUACAACACAUUGCAUAAACCAAGUUCACAAAUCAACAUGUAUAUAUAAAUAUGAGCUUUUGCAAUAACUUUCCAAAAACAUUUAGCAAGCCAUUCACAAAUACCAAAUCGUAAUAAAUGCUUGAUGCAGAUUUUAUGCAAUAAGACAUGCUUUCAAUAACUUAUUAACUUUCAAGACAUGAAUUUACAAACUCAGAAAUAAUGAUAUCACUCACGUGGGAAAGCCAAAACCAAGCUACUAUAGUUAGUCAAGCUCACUUACUCGGAUUCCUAACAAUUAAUGGAAAAACAAUAUCAAAAGACCGAGCAAAACGAUAUUCUUAUGAAUGACUUGACUGCACUAUGCCUAUUCAUCAAUAAAAUGACAUCUACGCGCCAACCAACACUUGCCUACAGCGGAAAUGUAUUGUUGUCCCAUGUGCACACCGCACGCUCUAAACUUUUUUGGGUCAUAAUUUCCUCCACAUAUGUUUGUUUCAAACAAGCAUAUAGUCCAUAGAAAACAAUUUCGAUGUACUACAACACCACCAACUCAGUCACCCAAAAACUCAUGGAAAAUGGCUGAAAUUCAAGCCUGAAAGUUACCAUUCAAAACUUGACCAGCGAGCGCGACGAACUUUGAAAUUUUGUUUCAAACAAACUAUAAGCUCAAAUCGAAAUUUGUAAAAUUUUACAUUUCACAACACUUUAAACUAUCAUUUUUAUGAAAAUAGACAGCUUAACGACUCAAAAAUCAAACUUCACCAUACGAAUCUCCAAUAAUUCUGAAUUUCAAGUCCAAAAUCCAAAACUACUCCGAUUGAACAAAUGAAGGGCGCGAACGGUUACCGAGUAUUGCAUUACAUAAUUGAGUCAACUUGGUGAGUCGUAUAGAUCACGAGCACAACAAAAUUUUUCCUUUCCUCUUUUCUUGUUUCUCCUUUCUCUUCUUUCCCCUUUUGCCUUCUCUCUCUCUCUCUCUCUCUCUCUCUCUCUCUCUCUAAGCUGAAGUCCACUCUUCUUUUCCUUUCUUCCCUUCUUUUCUUUUAAUUUCUUUCUUUUCUUUCCCUCUAUCCCUCUCCCGAAAGCUCUCGGUCUCUCUUCUCUUCUUGACUGUUCACCGCCGGACCUGCAGCCGUGGAACUAACCGGCAAGAUCUUAUACAAUCCGGACUGUUGUGAAAGUCUAUUUCCUUAAUUUCCAGAUUUGUGCACUUUGAUAGGUCCGGCAACCUCUUGAGAGAUUGGCAAUCAGACAUAGAAAACCUUCUCAAUAGUGAUGCUUGUUCGAGACCAUCAAGGUUGCCAACUUCGCAGCCAGAUAUCUUCAACACUUGCAGGAGCCUUAGGUUCCCAAGACCGAGAAUUUCCGAUGCAUUGCAGUCACAGAGCUCCAAUUCGGACAGAGUUUCCAGAUUAGAGAAAUCUACCCUCUGGCUCUUGCAAUUCUUGAUAAGCAGUUUUGACAAGCUUGAGGGAAGUUGUGGGAGGUUUAGCAGGUUUAUGCAGGACAAAUCAAGUGUUUUAAGUCGAGUAAGAGCAUUAAAAACUUCUGGUAGACUAGUAACAUUUGGAAGGCACAGCUUUAGGGUUUCUAAGUUGGAUAAACUUGAUAUCCAGCCGAAGCUUUCCGUUUGGGACAUCUCAGAGGAAGGUAUGUCCCCCUCAUCAGGAACAUCAACUAAUUCCAGAUCUUUCAAAUCCCUCAAAUAUGAAAAAUCCUGAACUACCCUCAUGUUUUUGGCUCCCCAGCGCAAACUCACUAAACUAGAUGGUAGUUUUGGUAGAGUCUGAAGUUCCUCGCAGCCAAGCAAAUUGAGGGUCUGGAGAUGAGAAAGAUGACAAAGGCACUCUGGUAGGCUACAAAUCAGGGUAAACGAUAAGUCCAUAAUUCUCAAAGAUGAUAACCCUGAAAUGUCACGCGGAAUUUCCCCUUCCAUGCUCCGGCAGUUAGAAAACGUUAUGACUUGCAACUUCCCUAGAUUUGCAAUAUCCGUAGGGAAUGUUCUUAUGGGAGUCUUAUUCAUUCUCAGCACCUCCAAUUUAUCCAAAUUUUUUAUCGAUUCUGGCAAUAUCUUAAUUCUGGUGUUUGACAGAUCCAUUUUCUGUAGUGACUGAAGCUUCCCAACGGAGUCCGGAAGUGCAGUUAUCCUCCGACAGUCUCUUAAAGAAAGUUCCACAAGUCCAUCCAACGAUGUAACAUCUCUCGGGAGUCCUUUGAUAUUGGACUCGUCCAAUGCAAGAUAUGACAGAGACUUUAAACAACCAAUAUCCUUGCAUAUUUCAGCCAAAUUUUUGCAGCUGGAAGCGCUGAUAGUUUUAAGUUUCUGCAUAGAACCUCUUAAGAAAUGAAGGUGAUGUAUGGAAGUUUUAUCAACAAAAAUCUCUUUCAAAUUAUCCAAGGAACCCAUCUCCUUCGGCAGCAGGACAAUCCUAGUGGACUUGAUGUUCAAAGACUUCAAAUUUUUCAAAUUACCAGCGGAUUCGUCAAUAACUGAUAAAUGAGAACAUCCUUCAAGAAUCAGUCUUUCUAAUUUGCUAUCAGCUGGGAACCAUGGCGUUUUACGUAAUUGACUGCAACCAGUUAGGUCCAAAACUUUCAAUUUGUUUGCCUUCUGUGGAUCAAAGAGAUAGAAAAAGGUCAGUUUCUAUUAGAUAGUCUUCAUAAAAAAUUGAAAAAAGGAACGUGUCUGAUACCUCCAUUAUUUGUGUCCAACCUUCCCAGUCAUCUGCCACUGUACUCAAUGAUAGAUCAAGUAUGACCAAGUUCUCGAGGCACAAAAUAAGAGGUUCGGAGCUCGUAUGGUACCCUCGCCAAUGAAGCCACCUUAAUUUGAAAAGAAGACCAGUAAAAUUUCCUCUCAUAUUAGCUCGAUCCAAAUUGAGGAACCUUAAUUCCGAUAAUGGGCCAAAUUCUUCAGAUGUGAAACAGUCAUGGGAUCCUUCAUCAAAGGUGAGACCAAGGGCCUGAACUUUUGUAGUACCCUAGCAGCAAAUGAAUCGGAAUUGAACUUUGUCAUAGACUGUCUGAGUUUCUAACAUUUCUUCUACAAAUUGAAAUUUUAAAAGGGACCCGCGCAAACUGAGAAAAAAAAAAAAGUUCUGGUUUUCAGGUUUACCUCCUUCCUCUGUAGGGUGGAUAGGGCUUGAUUGUGCAUCCACAACCUACUUCGAUUACUAGGGAUAGGAUCUUCAUUUGACACAAUACUUCUGCCUAGAGUUCUCAGUAGAUCAUGCGUCAAUAGCUCCUUGUUUUGUCCAAUUUUCACCAAAGACAGGACACGAAGAGCGUCAAUCCCUCUAUGAGGGUAAAGUUCACAGUCCUCCCANNNNNNNNNNNNNNNNNNNNNNNNNNNNNNNNNNNNNNNNNNNNNNNNNNNNNNNNNNNNNNNNNNNNNNNNNNNNNNNNNNNNNNNNNNNNNNNNNNNNUACGUCCAUCCACAACUCAAAAAUAGUUGAUGAAAUCACUUUAGUAGGAACAUGAUUUAAAAUGUAAGGCCAUGUUUUCAAAGCUUCACCCCAUAGAAAAUCAGGUAAAUUAAUCAUACUAAUCAUACCCCUCAUCAUAUCCAUAGUGCGAUUGCGCCUUUUGGCCACACCAUUUUGUCUAGGACUUUCAAACACAGUAAAUUGAGCUACUAUCCCAAAAUCCCAUAAGUAUUUAGCAAACAACCCUUUAAGUUAUCCAACAUCAUCAUGUUUGCCAAAAUACUCACCACCACAAUCAAAUUUGACAAUCUUUAUAAUUUUUCCCAAUUGUUUCUCUACUUCAAUCCGAAAAAUCUUGAAUUUGUCAAGAGACUUGGACUUUUCUUUAAUCAAGUAUAGGUAUCCAUAUCGGGAGUAGUCGUAAAUAAAUGUGAUGAAAUAAAAAUUUCUGGACAAAGUUGUCGUAUAUGGUCCACUAAUAUCAAUAUGAUGAGUUAGAACUUCAAACUGCGGUUUUCUUCCUUAUCUUAGUCAUCUUACCUCCACAAUAGUAUACGCAAGUCUCUAGAUCACUUUUAAGAGUAGGCAAGAUGUCAACCUAUAUAAGUCUGUCUACUCUUUAUCUAAAGAUUUGACCAAGACGUUUAUGCCACAAUGCAUAAGACUAUUUCUUAGGUAAAGGCCUUUUGGAAACAACAUUUUCAGCUGAAUAAAUAAUGUACAUAUCGUUAAGAGAUAACCACGAUCGAUAUAAUCCAUUGAAUAAAUUACAACACCCUACCUGAUUUGAAUUAUAAAAUAUAGAAAUACUAUUGCUUUUUAUUUUAAAAGAGUAUCCACACAUAUCCAAACAAGACAUAGAAACUAAGUUCCGCCUAAAAGAAAGUACGUAAAAAGUGUUUCUCAGCAUCGUCCUAAAACCAGAAUCUAAAAUUAAAAUAACAUCUCUCACAAACUUGACGUCAACUUUAAUGUUAUUUACCACAAUAAACUUUGAUUCAUCUUGAUUUGGCAUCCUUCGGUUUAUGAACAUUUAUAUGGUAAACGCAACAUGAUUAGUUGUACUGCUAUCUAGCCACCAAGAAUUGGACAGGGCUUCAUAUAUGUUGGAUUUACAAACAAAUGCUAAAGAAUCAUUACCUUUAGGCUCACUCUUAGUUCUCUUGGAUAACCAAGCUUUAUAUUUAUUACAUCAUUUCUUCACAUGUCAUCUCUCCCUGCAAAAGUAGCAAAUAACAUCAUCAUUCUUAAAUGAUGCUUUCUUAGGACCCAAACUGUUAGAAAGACUAGUAGCUUUAGCAUUUCCUUUGUUGUUGGAAGAACUAGCAACUUCAGAAUUGCUCUUAUGAGUAUAGUUUUUGAACUUCUUACCCUUAUCAAUACUAGAACCAAAAGCAUAAAGGGCAAUGUGCCAUUUAUCUUUCUUCAAUUUUUCUUCCUCUGUCACCAUCCUUGCAAUCAUGUCAUUAUUGACUAAGUCUUACCUUAAGAACUAUAAUUGAUCUUAAAGGAGGAAGAGUAUUUAGAGCUUCAUGCNNNNNNNNNNNNNNNNNNNNNNNNNNNNNNNNNNNNNNNNNNNNNNNNNNNNNNNNNNNNNNNNNNNNNNNNNNNNNNNNNNNNNNNNNNNNNNNNNNNNUUUCGAUUUCUUCAACGUUUCUUUCCCAUACACCUUGAGUUUUCUUAAACAAACACGAACCUAUCACUCAAGUGCCAAAGGAAGUCGCCCAAGAGCUUUUAUGAUGUCCAUGGAAAGGCUUUCAAAGCCCUUGUCAGGAAAAUCCCUCCCAAAAGCCCGCUUAGAAAACAACUGGAGAGCUUUUUCUUCUUCCAUUGGUUCAACCUCAUAGGUUUCAGCCUUUUCGAACCUCGAAAGGAUGCUGCUGUUUCUAGAAGUCACAAUAAUCCUGCUUCCGGAACCAAAGCAAUUAAGAUCCCCGAUGACCACAUCGAGUUGGUCGUCAUCUUCCACAUUGUCAAGCAGAAUGAGGACCCGCUUCCUGCGAAAUGCUUUAUCAAGAACUGUCAUAGCAUCAUUAGAACACUGAAACGUCACAUUUCUAUUUCGGAGGUUUGAGAUUAAUUGAUUUUGCAAGGACAAGAUCCUAUCAUGUUGAUGCUUUUUUGGAAUUUCCCUAAGAUGACUAUAACCUUGAAAGUAAUGAUAGAGUUGGUUGUAAACAACAUUUGCAAGAGUGGUCUUGCCAACCCCCCCAAUACCGUAUAUUCCAAGGACUCGAACAUCGCUUUCACAAAUUUUAAUUACUUGUCCAUUAUGAUGCACAACACCGAGCUUUCUCAUAAUCUCUUGCACGUGAUGGUCAACUCCAACUAAAUUUUUUGUCACAGUUAGUCGACCCUUCUUCAGCUUUUGCUGAACAACUGGGAUGAGUUUGUCUAUGAGCUCGGAUUGAUGCCUACAGAAAUCAUAUAUGGAGGCAUGAUGAGAAAGUGAAUCAGAACAAUAAUCAUACAGCAGAGCAAAGCAGAAUAUGCAGGGUUGAUCCAAGAGCAAUGCCCCAUGAGGCAAGAACAAAGGAGGCCUUUAAAUACAUUUCCAAAGAUCCUGCAUCUGAAUGGUCUAAGUUGGUCUGAAAGCCAAACGGUUAAGUGGAGUUGCGAAACUAAAAAAGCUUGAAAAAGAAGAAUAAUGUCAGGGAUAGCAUGAUUGGUUUACGAUCUGGCAUAUCAAUUUUGUACGUCAAUUUUAAAUAGAAUUGGAUUACCCGUCAUGUAUUUUUGCCGUUUCAAAUCCCUUUAACGUUCCAAUCUCUUUGAGAGCUAGUCUCCAGUCCUCGAUGGUCUUAUUAUCAACCCCAUUCCUCUUGUGUUUGGAAAAGCUCUCCUCAAAAGGAUGGCCCUGGUCUUUCAAAUCUGAGGGACUGAUUUCAUAGAAAAUGGGAAUGAUUUCUCGACUCAUUGUUUGCUUGCACUCUAAUAUUUGGACCAACUCCAUGAGGCAGCUUUUGCUGGAAGCAUAAUCCCCUGAGAUGAUGGGAAUCAAAACCUCCGACUGUUCGAUUGCUGCAAUCAGCGCGGGCGUGAUCUCUUCUCCGACAGGCAGCUCAUCAUCAUCUCGAAAGACAUGAUNNNNNNNNNNNNNNNNNNNNNNNNNNNNNNNNNNNNNNNNNNNNNNNNNNNNNNNNNNNNNNNNNNNNNNNNNNNNNNNNNNNNNNNNNNNNNNNNNNNNAACGUAGUACCUAAUUUCACAAGAACCAUCAUACUUCAUAUUAAAUAGUGUUUAUAGGUGUGUCCCUAUCUCAGCAUUAGAUGAGACAUAGUUUCUAGCCAAUAAGGCUUCUAUUAUCUAUCUUGCAUGCAGUCUCCAGACAAACCACUUUUCAAAUAUUUCUAAAUGAAAUGUUUCAUGGAUAGCAAGCAAAUUCAAUUGCUCUUUUCUCAAGCAAUAAAAUGUGCUCGCUGAGCUUCUAUACUCUUGACAGUAAGAUUUGCCGGCCGAUCGACAGUAAGAGCCAUAUAAAUAUCUUACAUCUCCAUAGCAAAUAAAAAAUCUUCUCUCCAUCUCUUCAAGUUUGAAUCAGCAAAAACCUCAAUAGCGACGAAGUUACCAUAUACAAAAAAAAAAAAAAAAAAAAAAAAAAAAAAAAAACCGACGGAAAAACAAGCAAUGUAUAUUAUUAGCAUUAUGUGAGCAGUAUGUAACUUAACAUACAAGUACCCAUCUGGAAAAUUACAUGUAAAAUUAUAUAAUCACUUUUGGACAGAAUACUCGACAUGCAGUUAUAUAUUCCCCACAUGACAACAGUUAUAAGAAUAUAUUCUAACAUUCAGGAAUUCAUCACCUUUAGGUGUAUGAACCACUAGGAUCAGUUAUUCCUCCACUACACCAUCAAAAUAUCUUUUCUAUAAAUUAAUACAAAAUCACCUCAUUUGAAAGUAUGAUCAUGCAUUAGAUUAUGAAAUAUCCCAUCAUUAUAUAAGAUCGAUAUUUUUCAAACCCAAUCAAGUGUGCUACUUUGACUGUUGCAACUCAAUUGAAUCCUUGAAACUCUCUCGUACUAGGGAUAUAAACUAUACUUCUCACAUACACCAUAUACAUGUGAUUUUAACUUUAAUGACAAAUGCAAUAUAUCAUUAAAAUCACAUAUCACGCUAAUUAUACUACUUUAUUAUCAAUGUAUCACACUCUUUAUAAUAUCUAUGUGAUAACAUAUCUUAAACCAACACCUGUAUUUCCAAAAUCACGGAAAAAUAUAAGAAAGUAUACCAAAAAUACAGGUAUUUAGCGUUUCGUAUGUAUUUUCACAUUCAUAAAAUCAUCAAACACAUAAAAUAAAUACAUCGCAACAUAGAACAUGACCAUACGAGCAUGUAGCCACCAACCAUGCACCCAUCAGAGGCUCCACGCGCCCGUACGCGCCGCUUGAGGGUGCAACGUGUGGAGCACAUGUGCAAGCAUAUUGGUCCCUUAGAUCCGAUCCAACUAGUAGCGGUUCAACCGAUUCUCUGCUCAUUGUUCGAUUUGACCGGUUGACCAGUCCAGUUGAUGGUAACCCGAUUCGGGCGAGUCAACGCGUCGAAUCUCAGGUCACAAGUCAAGUCAAUAGAUCGGGUCGGGUCUUGCGAAUCGUCAUUUGCUAACAUCGGGAUGUCAUCAACCCUAGUGCGUGUAAUGCAUGCGCUAGCCGCGCCAGCGUGUCAAUGCACAUGAAGGCGCGUAGGUGCGUGCUCAAUGCCCCUAGUAGCACAUGAGGGCACGUAAGGCCUCUCCCGGGGAUGCGCCACUCAUGGUUUUCCUCAUCUUGUCAAGUUCUUUCUGUUUAUAUAAUAAAAAUUGAAGUUUUCUCCACAAAAAAUUAUGAAAAUAGGGUGAAAAAUUUAUGCGUUCAAGUCUUAGGUCAUGGUUACUCUGAUACCAUAUGAUAGAUACUAAAAUGCGCAAUCCCAUAAUCUCCAUAACUAGAACAAAAACACAUAUAAUUGAGUAGAAAGAUUAACGUACAUGUUUUGGAGUCCAUUGUUCUUGAUGCGGAAGCAAAAAUCGAUGAUCCAAGCGUAAGUCAUUCUCCUUUAAUGCCCCCUAUAUCAUUGGCUCAAUGAGACGGACCCCUCACCCUUUAGCGUUAGGUAAACACUCAUUUAUGAGGAUAAUUGUGAAAAUCAAAGUUAGAGGAAAGAUUUGAGUAUUAUUUAUAGAGUUCCCAACCAAGCCCUCUUAUUAUGGGUUAGGUUCAUCUUGGCUCACACUAAUGAGCCAUAUAUUAUACUAAUUAAGAAAUAUUUUAUCUCACCUUAGAUUAACCCGGUAAAAGGGUAAAUUACAAUAUCAAUUAAUGUAGCCCCCAUUAGGAAAACUCUUACAAUCAUAUCAUGAGAAUCCUUGAUGAUGAACAACUUUGGAAAUAAGUACCUACAAUGAAACAUCAAAAUAAGAAACUUAGACAAUUUGGACAUGCUCGCUCAUAUGAUUAGUUCAACAUUUACCUCUAAAGAUAAAAUAUGAAUUUCAAACUUCGUUAGAACACAAUCUAAACCACUAUGGCAUAGUUUGCAUGAAAUAACAAAAGUUCACUUAGGGCAAUUUAUUGUCUUAUAUGUUAUUCCAUGUUUGAUUAGGUAUGACAUUAAAUAAAAAAACUUCUCAAUCACACCAAUUCUAACUCAAUCAAAACUCAACUGGAAAAAGUUAUUCCAACUCAAAUGGAAUCUUAGAGAAGCCCAAUCAGGCACUACAAUGCGUCGGGUGUAAAAAUUCUAAGCUCAAACUGUUGGCGUGAGCUGGAAUUCCCUAAUUUGUAGGGGAUUUUAUUUUCCUUUUGAUUUGUAGAGAACUUUAUUUUCCUAAUCUGUAGAGACUUGACUUGCAGAAGAAGUCCGUCUAAUUGUAUAUGUAUAGAUAUGUACAUACUUGAUGAUCAAGGAGGAAAGCAGAAAAAUAAAAAGAGGGUCGGAGAGGCUACCCCGAAGAUGUAGGCACACUACCAAACCUCGUUAGUUCUUGUGUUUUUCUCCUCUUCUUCUCGAUUUUUAUGUAGAUUGUUAACAUGGUAUUAGAGCAAUAGAUCUACGAACCCAGAAAAACCCUAAACACUAUGUCGUCACCGCCAUUGUGACUCACCCACAUCAGAUCGUUGCUACCACUGUCGAUGUAAUUCAAUAGACCUGCUUGCCACCACGGCACAAUCCUUAUGCCAUUGCCUCUCUGUCCGACUCUAUCAAACUACCACGACAUCUAUUGUUGCCGUGUUGUCUAGAAACUCCAUCUUUGACAAUUACAGCAACACAAAUCGACACGCCGACCAAAUUUCUUUGCCACGAUCCAAAUCACUGCACCGAUCAAACCCUAAACACCCAAAGAUCGCUGUGGUUGCAUCAGUUUUGUGUGGUUGCCGUGCCAACUAGCUCACCAACCCAAGAGAUUCGCUACUCUUUUUAAUUAAUGCCUAUACACUAACUUAUGGUAGAUCAAAAUUCUCCAUGAGUAGUGAUUCCCCAUCAAAAUCAUGGGGAGAGUUCUACAAUAAAUGCGCCUUUGGAAAAUUUAACAACUAAAUUAACUUAUAUUCUAACACAGAAUCAGUCCUCGACCCCAACACCACAGAACGAUCCAUAUUUAGCAUAGAUUGCAAUCAAAUUGGAUGGGAUUAAUUAUGGCUUAUGGUCUCAUGUGGUAGAGAUGUAUAUCACGGGCAAUGACAAGCUAGGAUACAUUAAUGGUGACCUUCCUCAGCCUUUAUCUAUGGACUUGGGGUAUUGGAAGUGGAAGACUAAAGAUUUUGCUAUAAAAGGAUGGCUGAUAAACUCCAUGGACCUGGCUUUAAUCGGUAACUAUAUUUGCUUCCCAGUUGUAAAAACAGUUUAGGAUGUAGUGGUAACUACUUUUUUUUUUUUUUUUUACAGGACCGAUGCUUCUUAGGGUUAUGAUUUGAAGAGGUGUGCGACCUAGAUGAGACAGGUUGGAGGACCCAUUGAAGCUUACUACAAUGGCCUUCAAGGAUUGUGGAGAGAGAUCAACUUUCACUGCCCAAAUCCAAUGGUAUGCCCGGAUGAUAUCGCGAGAUAUUAUUUAGCCAUUCUAGAGGAUUGUGUGCAUUUUCCUUGAUUGUUUAGAUAGUCAGCUAGAUAAGAUACAAGUUGAUAUGCUAUGGAUGUAGCCAUUCCCUAUAGUCGAGCAGGCUUAUGCUCGUGUUCGCGGGGAGAAUAUACGACAAAUAGUGAUAUUGAACAGUGGGAGUACUACCCAUAGUUCUGUGGCUAUGUUGUCGCAAGGAGGCAAGCUUAGGCUCAAAGAAGCUUAGGAGUCGACUUUACAAAUGUUUAAAUUAUGAGGUGGAUGAACUAGCACAGCCCUGAAAUAGAAAACUCCUCCAAUUGGUGGCUGCUCCCAUUAUGGGAAUGCUAAACGUACCCAAGAGACAUGCUUUAAGCUUCAUGGAUAUCCUAAAUGGUAAAAGGAGCUCAAAGAUGGAAAGCAAGCAGAGGGAGAAGUGAACAAUGGCAAAAGGAAGGUGUCUCUAGCCGUGGGAGACUCUCAAUCUUCACUAGUAUCAUAGCUUGAACCAUAGAGUAAGAUACCUAUAGAGGGUAAAGGUAACUAUGGUCUUGCUUUGGUUACUUCUUUAUUGAAUGAUUAUAGUUAGUGGGCUAUUAAAUCAAGGGCUACUGAUCCCAUGACUUUUACUUCAGAUGAUUUUGUUAGUAUUAUAGAACCUCGACGCCUUAGUGUCUCGAAUGCUAACGGAGUGCCAUAUCCAGUGACUGGAGCUGGAGUUGUUAGUAUUUCCCCUUCUCUCUCAUUACCGAAUACACUCCUUGUCUCAUAACUAUCUAUGAAACUAAUUUCAAUUGGGCAGGUUGCAAAGGAAUUAAAUUGUGUCAUGCUAAUGUAUCCGCAUUUCUGUCUAAUCUAGAAUAUCCUCACGAAGCAGAUUACUAGGUGCGGUACUAAGAGGGGGGCUGUAUUACAUGGACAACUUCAGUUCUGGGAAUGUCAAUCAAGUCUGAGGGUGAUCUACAAGUCAAGAAACAUAGAUAUGGCUCUGGCAUAAGCGAUUGGGACAUCCGCUAUUUGGUUACAUGAAGAAGUUAUUUCCUAAGUUAUUUUUGGGUUUGAAUGAUUAUCAGUUUGAUUGUCAAACUUGCAUUUUAGUGAAAAGCCACUAGGUACCUAUUCCUAUCAAUUUAAAUGAAAUUGCAAUUCCUUUCUCUUUGAUUCAUUAUGGUACGUGGGGUGCUUCUCCUAUUACCUCUAUGUUUGAUAGUCAAUGGUUUGUCCUUUUUGUUGAUGAUUGCACUAGAAUGAGAUGGUUAUAUCUAAUGAAAACUAAGGAUGAAGUUGUUAAUGUGUUCAAAAUUUUCCAUACUAUGGUGCAAACUCAAUUUGGUGGGAAGGUCUAAAUCCUAUGCAGUGAUAAUAGUGGUGAGUACAUUAAUCAUUAUCUUGAAGAAUAUUUUCUACAGCAUGGCUUACUCCAUGAAACAUCAUGCUCACGAAUGCUCCAACGAAAUGGGGUAGCAAAAAAGAAGAAUAGGCAUAUCCUUGAGACAGCUUGAUCUUUAUUAUUUGAAAAUAAUGUCUUGUACUGUUUCUUAGAUAAUGCAGCGGCUACAGCCAUCCACCUUAUUAAUCGAAUGCCAUCGAAGGCGUUAGAAUUUCAAACACCAUUGGAGGCUCUCUCCACUCAUGUACACUUACCAUUGAUUCUUACUAUCUCCCCUUAGGUGUUUGGUUGCAUCACCUUUCCUCACAUUCUCAAAACACAACGCAUAAAACUUGAACUGUGUGCUGUGCGCUAUGUGUUUUCAGGCUAUGGUUCACAAUCAAAAGGGUAGCAGUGCUAUAAUCCAUCUACAAAGAAGACAUAUGUUACAAUGGAUGUGACAUUCAUUGCGAUAGAAUCUUUCUUUCGGGACACCAGUUCUUCUUUUCAGGGGGAGAUAUAGAUGAACAAGAAGAAUAGGGGGAGACCGGUGCUAGUAUUAUGGCCCCACGGGGAGUACAACUCGGUGGAGUGUCAGUAUUGCUGUCUGCAGCUAGGGUCGAACUAGGCCAAAAUUUACCAACGGAUGAUGAGGAAGAAAGCUUGGAAUGUAGGUUAGGUGUUUUGGAAAUUUCAAAGCAAAUCCUGUUAGGGGAAGGUUAGGUCCUCGAGGAGCUGAGUUUACAAGAUCAUUUGGCUCUUCCAGAAUAGCUUCCCCCAUCAUCUUCAAUGCCCGACCCAACUCCUAAGGAAAUUUUUGAGUUAACUUCUCCUACUACUAGUUUACAUGAUGAUUCUAAUAUUUCUAUGGGAUAUAAAUUGCCUGCUAGGCACAACUGAGGAAAGCCCCCGAGCCGAUACUCACUAGAUGGUGGAGGGAAUAAGAAGUUUGUCUAUCCAAUCACUAACUAUGUUUUGGUUGACAGAUUGUCUGAGCCAUUGAGGGCAUUUGUUUCAAAUGUAUCAUCAGCUUAUAUUCUAGAUGGAGUAUAGGACGCCUUGACUAAGUGAGUUCAAGCUAUGAAGGAAGAGAUGGAAGCAUUGCUGAAAAACAAUACUUGGAAGCUAGUUUAACUACCUGAAAGGAAGAAAAUAGUAAGAUGCAAAUGGGUGUUUUCGGUUGAGUAUAGAGCAGAUGGGUCAAUUGAAAGGUAUAAGGCAAGGUUGGCAGCACAAGGAUAUACACAAACAUUUGGGGUAGAUUUUUAGGAAACCUUUUCACCUAUUGCAAAACUAAAUACUAUACAAGUGUUAUUGUCUCUUGUAGCUAAUUUAGAUUGGCUUUUACACCAAUUUGAUGUCAAGAACGCAUUCUCCAUGGUGACCUAGAAGAGAAGAUCUAUAUGGAUAUUCCACCCAAUUAUAGUCUUUCUUCACAACUAGAACCGGUUUGUAAAUUGAAGUGAUCAUUGUAUGGAUUGAAACACUGUCCUCGAGCUUGGUCUGGACAGUUCAGUGUGGCUAUGAAAAGGUAUGGGUAUGUUCAGAGUGAUUCUGAUCACACCAUAUUCUCGAGGCGAAGUCGAGGUAAGAUAACUAUGUGGAUUAUCUAUGUAGAUGAUAUAAUUAUCACAUGUGAUGAUCAAGAGGAAAUCACAAAAUCAUAGUAGAAGCUCUCAACAAAGUUUGAGAUAGAAAAACUUGAUGGACUCAAGUACUUCUUAGGGAUAGAUGUAGCAAGAUCUAAGAGAGGUAUUUUUCUAUCUUAGAGAAAGUAUAUUUUGGAUUUGUUGGUUGAGGUGGGAAUGCUAGAUUACAAAGCUGCAAACACAUCGAUUGUUCAAAAUCACAAACUUGGAAAGUAUUCUAAUAAGGUGCAUACAAAUAAAGAAAGAUAUCAAAGGUUAGUUGGCAAACUAAUUUAUUUGUCACAAACAUGUCCUAAUAUUGCUUAUGCAGUUAAUGUUGUAAGUUAAUUUACACAUGCUCUGAGUGAAGACCAUAUGGAUGGUGUAAUGCGAAUAUGUCGAUAUUUAAAGGGAGCUUCGGGGAGAGGGUUUCAGUUUUAGAAGAGUGACCAUCUUAAGAUCAAAGGUUUUACUGACGUAGACUGGGUUGGAAGUAUGUCAGACGGAAGAUCAACUUCAAAGUACUUUAAAAAAGCAAAAAGUAGUAACUCUCUCAAGUGCAGAGGUAGAGUUUAAAGGAAUGGCCAAGGGAUUGUGCGAACUCCUAUGGCUUCGGAAACUAAUGAUAGAACUUUGUUUUACUCGUGUUUAAAAUGGAGUUGUUUUGUAAUAACAAAGCAACUAUUGAUAUCUCUCAUAAUUCUGUCUAACAUGAUCACACCAAACAUACUGAGGUGGAUUGUCACUUCAUUAAGCAGAACUUGGACUCCAAGGUGAUUCAACUUCCAUUCAUGAAAUCCAAAGACCAACAAACAUAUAUCUUGACACGGGUUGUUUUAAGCAGGGCAUUCUAUAGCUCACUAGACAAGUUGAGCAUGCGAGAUAUCUACCCGCCAACUUGAGGGGAAGUGUUGGCGUAAGCUGGAAUUCCCUAAUCUGUAAGGGAUUUUAUUUUCCAACGCCUAAUUUUUAGGGGAUUUUAUUUUCCUUAUGACUUGUAGAGGAUUCUAUUUUCCUAAUCCGUAGAGGCUUGACUUGUAGAAGAAGUUUGUCUAAUUGUAUAUAUAUAAUGAUUAAGGAGGAAAAAAGAAAAAUAAAGAGAGGGUUGGACAGGCUUCCUCGAGGAUGUAGGCACACUGCCGAACCUCGUUAAUUCUCGUGUUUUUCUCCUCUUCUUCUUGAUCUGCAUUUAGAUUGUUAAGACAAACAACCACUUAAUCCAAGCAUCUAAAACCAUUUCUUUUCUCUAUCUCUCUCACCCCUCACUGAAGUCUCCUUUCGUGUCAAACCAAGAAGAACGAGAAGAAGAAGAGGAUAGAGAAACACAUGGUGCUGGCGACAUCAUUGAGGCUCUGGCAACCUCCACUAGCUCUUUCUGGUGAUGGGUGAUAGUCCACUGAUGAGGACUUUUGGCUGUUUUUUAAAGCUUGGAUCUUUUUUAAUAAAAAAAUGCUAUAUAUAAGAGACGAAAUAAUAAAAAGAAAAAUGUUACGUCAACACUUAUCUCUAAGGAAUUUAAUAAAGUUAACAAAAUGAUUUGGUUGCACUAAUUUAAUAAAUUUUAUGAAUGGAUUGCACUGAAAGUUUAAGACUCUAUUGCACUCUUACAACAAGUUUUAGAGUUUUUGAUACACUUAUCUUGAAAAAAAUAAAAUAAUGGUAUGAAGAACCCUACCAAUCAUAUGCUAAAACCUGACAAUAAUGGUAUUUGGGAAUAUAUUAAUGAUAUCUACUGAUCAAUAUUCAUCAAAUAACAUGUAUUUCAGUUCUCAACACGUAAAAUGUAGUGCUUAAGUUUUCAGCAUUUCUUUUCUAGUUUUAUCAAACAAGCCCUAAGUGCCAAUACCAAUUUAUGAUCAAUUCCGUCUGACCUCCAGCAGUGAACUUAAAGUUCUAGUGUCUUUUCAUAAAUUAAUACUAGCUUUAAGGCAAUACCCAGAGCAAUUAACUUCUUUGAGCCUUGAUUAAACCAAUUAAGGACAAUUGAUGAAGCCAACCAGUCAAGACUAGACAAAGCAAAUCGACCAUGCUAGAUUAACUAUAUAGCCGUUUAUGAAUAGUUAAUGGGUAGUGUGAGAAUUAGAGAAAGGUUUGAAGAGGAAGAUCAUGGGAAUUAGAGACUACACACAUAUAUUUAUAUCAUGGAAAAUGACACAAAUAGUUCAUAAACUUCGGUCCAAUGUGGAACAUUAUCCUUGUACUUAUAAUUUGUUAGAUAUGUCACUCGAAUCAUUUUCAGUUGUUCAAUGUUAUUCAUAAACUUUCAAUUUGUUCAAUUUAGUUCUAUAACUUUCAUAAAAAGUCAUAAGUUUUCAUAAUUACAUUAUUGCAUAGUAAUAUCUUUUCAAUUCGAUCAAUUUCGUAUAUAAACAAUAUAUGACUUUUUUUUUAUUAUUUGUUUACCUUUUUUUAUCUUUAUAUAUAUAUAUAUAUAUAUAUAUAUAUAUAUAUAUUGUGAUAGUUCCAAUUAUGAUCUUUAUAAUAGUAAAAGUUAUACCUCAUCUAGCGCUGUAUCAAUUUGAUAUUUCUACUAUUUUAAUUUUCUAAUUUGCAUAUUCAACUAAAAUUAAUUGAGCAAAUACGAAACAUCAAAAACUAAAAAAAAAAAAAAUCUAUUAGAAAAAUUAGGCUCAUGAUUUAUAUUAUGUAUGUGAAAUCUAUAGAUAAAAUAAUAUCAUUACUAAAUAUUCUUUUGAAAUUACUUUUUUUUAUUAAAAAAAGGAACAUGAAUAUGAUAUGACUUUAUGGAUUAUAUAUUUGCUAUUAUAAAAAUAAUAAUUUAAAAUAUACUUAAAUGAAACCAUAGUAAUAUUUAUAAAGACCAAAAAGGUAAAAAGUAAUACAGAGAUAUCAAAUUUUUGUUGAUUUAGAAAAUGGAUUGAAAUGAAAAUAUAUUUUAAAAUUUGGGCAAUGGUGUGAAUAUGAAAACUUGUGAAGGACUAAAUUAAACAUUUAAUAAAAAUUCUAUGACUAUAUUAAACAAAUUAAAUGUCGAAAGAUGACAUUGCAUACUAAGCUAUAGUUUAGGAAUAAUUAGCAUUAUUUUCCCUUCAUACUAUGUUCAACAUAUUACAAAACAGAAAAACCCACAAUUUUUUUUUGAUCGAAAGAAAAACCCACAAUUAAACACACAUUUACUAUAUGAUUUUAUCUCUCAUUCCUAACACUCUCUCCUAAACUAGAGCAUAAAUAUCAUGUAUACCCAGCUUGUUACAUAUAUACUUGACUUAGGGACUCAUUAGAGUUUUAAUGAAUACAUCAACUUACUGAUUAUUAAUUCUAACAAACAAAUUGCUAAUUUCCUGAUGUCGUAUUUUUUCUUAAACAAAAUGAUAAUCAACCUCUAUAUAUUUUGCUCUCUCAUGAAAAACAAGACUCAAAGAAAUAUGCACUGCUUCCUGAUGACAAAACAACGUCAUCCAUUGUGAUUACGUCAUACUGAAUCAUCAGCUCAUGCACAACCUUCUCGCAAUGUCCUUCCAAUCCUGGAUUUGUCUUAAAAAUUGACAUUUAGGCCAUCUACAGACUCCUUUUUAGUAACAGCAAUAUCAAGAGGAUCUGAAAUGAGAGGAUUCAAAGGUUAGUUACUACCCCUUCAAUCAUACCAGGACUUCGCUUUUCUUCCAUCACCCAUGUCGAGCAGAUUGCUGUGCCAUGAAUUUGAUUCGGGUCCUCUUGGAGUAAGUCAAAUUCUGGUGGCAAACAUUGCUUUAUGAUUUUCGAUUUUUAAAAAAUAUAAAAUGACAUACCUCACUUUCGACCAAUGAUCACUUGCUAACCUCUAUUCUUACAAAAACUAUUUGCAUACCUCCAAGCAAAACCUUACAUUUAAAGGCCAAAUUGUCUUUUUUGGAAAACUCAUUUUAUGUGAUUUAGUUUUUAGUUGAUUUUGAACAUAUUGAGUGGCCGUGAAAAAGUUUAUGAUUAGGAAAUGGGUGUUUUUGAACAAAAAUGACAUUUUCAUAAAUAAGGACACAAAGAUAAUUGAUGUGAAGGUGCAAAGUGAUAUCCAGGCAUAAAAGUUGGGUUUGUGUUUGGUGUUUUGAGAUAUGUAAGUGGCACCUCAAUUAAAAGUGAGAUAUGCUUUUGGUAUUUUUCCUUAAUUGUUUUUCACCCACAUCAAUAAUGAACCGAUGAACCGAUUAAUAAAUAAGAUUAAUACCACGAGAAAUUCCAAACCGAUAUACUUGUAACAAAUAUACUCUAAACUAAUUUUUUGACUAUAAAGGGUCCGUUCAUUUUGCGGAACAUAACUUCUGGGAAAAUAUUUUUCGGAAAUUCCCGUGUUUGGGGGCGGAAAAUAAACAGUCAAAGAAAACAUUUUCGGGUCAACGAAAAAUUCCUUCCUAACACUGUGGAAAAUGAUUUCCCCUUUUCAAAAAAGGAAAUCAUUUUCCCUUACGCAUGGACUCUGUCGCGCUUCUUUCCCUAAGGAUUCUUUGAUCUCAUCUCCUCCUCCUCGGAGCAUCCCCUCAUCGCACGAUCAACGAACUCUGCUGAGUCGCACACUUGCCUCGAAUGGUUUUCCCUCGCCGGAAGCAAAGAAUAUUUGCGAUCCAGGUACGCGCCUCUUGCUUCAGCCGUCGGAUGGUUUUCCCCCGGCCGGCCGCGUGAAUCGCCGACGUUUGAUUUCGUGUCUCUACUCUGUUUUCACUUUUUUCCUUUGCUCGGAUGUUUCGGAUUCUCAAUUUACUCAUGUUGUAGAAAUUGUUUGCGGAUGUGAUUUUGCUGUUGUGCUAUUCUUUGAUCUCGGUGGUGAUUGUGGUCUGAGCCGCGCCCACCCAGGUGUUUCCUAAAUGCACGGAACAUCUUUGGAUAGUGAUGCGUUCCGUUUUUUUUUUUUUCUGGAUUUUCGAGAUUGUGUUGUCGAGAGGUGCAGAGAUGAUGGUGUCUAGAUAGGAGAAGAUUUUUUCUUCGGGAUGCAUAUGCCUCUCGUUCGCGGAUGUCCACUAAUUUUGUCUAGGAUCAUCAGCCUUUUCAUCAUUCGCUUGGAGCUUCAGUGAAUAUGCGUUGUUUUUUUUUUUUUUUUGUGAUGAUCCUUUCUUCAUUGUGGACCUCGCUGUCGUAUCAUGUUGAUUUUUGUAGCUUUGAAGUUCUAGUUCUCCCUUGUUAUCUUUGUGUCGUUUGGGCUGCUUGAUGAUAGGACUCCUGGUCGGUUACAUAAGCGUGGUGAUGCACGUCCCAGAGGUUUACUUCUGGGGCAGUCACCUUUCCCCUGAAAAUCAAUUCGAUGCUCUCUGAGAAGAAAUAGCUUCUCUAUGUGCUGCAAUUAUCAUUACAUGCCCUUGUUUUAGGCAAUUUGGCAAUCGGCCUGAAAAAUUUCGCCUUUAAAAAUAGGUGCUGUGUUAGUGGUCCAGUGGUGUUCUAUGUGUGUCUAGGGAGUGAUAAGAGUUACGGAGCGUGUGCCAGUUAUAGGAAUCACAUGCUGUUUAAUGAGAUUACAAUUCCAUGAUUCUAUACUCAUAAACACUUCUUCUACACCUUUGUUUAGUAUUUUUUGAUCAUUCCUUUCACUAUGGCUGCCCACUGGAAGUUUGAGCGCAGCUCUUUUUUAACCAACAAAAGGUGAUUAUAGCCUUUGGAAUAUCAACUUUUCAACUAUUAGCCAUAUGAGUGGCCUGGUUGCUGUUUUAUUGUCUGAAGAGACUAAAAUCUGGUGAUAUUGAUCACAUUCCCUGUUGACAAAAGAAAAGACAUCCACCGAGUCAUUUUCUCGACUUACUUUUCGACUUUUUGUUUUCAGUCCCAUUUGGUUUGUAGGAUUUUUGAAUGCUUACUUUUUGCCUUUAUUUUCAGUACGUGCUCUUGUGUUUGCAUUCCAUUAACAAGUUUUGCUAACUCUGUUUUUGUUUCAAGUUGUCCCUCCUUUGUGGGUUUUCUUGAUACUUGGCAGUAAGGGUAUUUCAGCUUCUGCUCUGCCCUACAAGAGAACUCCUCUGAGCUAGCUCAAGAUUUCUUCUCAAGAUGUAAGAACAUUUUCAGCUUUGUUUGUUUUUGUGGGAUAAUGGGUAGUUUGUAGCUGUCGCCUUCCUCUCAGGAUCUGGUAUAAGAUGUUUUUGUAAGGUACUUGGUGCAAGUAACUUAUUGCGUUCUACUGUAAAUGUUUCUAUUAUGGAGCAAGUUAUGGUAUUUUGUCAUAUCAUUGGACAUAAUGUGAGGUUUUCCCCUCUCUUUUUUAUUUCCUCUUGUUUGAUUAGAGGAGUUCAGUGGAGCUUUUACUCAUAUUUCUCUUUCUUGGUUUGCUCUGGAUUACUGGGCACACCUCAUUUUGAACAUACUGGAAAGUCUUCUAAGAAUUUGUCCACUGCUCAUGCAAUUUAACAAUUUUAGUGAGAAAGAGUUGGGGAUCAGCGUGAACUUGACGGGAGUCUUCUUGGGGACCAAGCACGCUGCUCAAGCCAUGAUGCCGUCGCGGAGCGGAAGCAUCAUCAAUGUCGGCAACGUCAGCUCGAGCGUGGGCGGGGUCGCGUCCCACGCAUACACUAGCUCCAAGCACGCCGUCAUGGGGCUCACGAGGAACGUGGCCACGGAGCUCGGGCGAUAUGGAAUUCGCGUGAACUGUGUCUUGCCUCAUUUCAUUUUAGCGCCAUUGAUAAAGGAGUUCUUCAAAAUUGACGAGAGUGCAAGAGUCCGAGUGUAUUCUAACUUAGAUAGGGGUGGUGAGUCUACAUGAAGAAGAUGUGGCGAAGGCUGCUGUGUAUCUAGGGAGUGACGAGUCCAAGUACACCAGAAAACAUUUUUCGAAACAUUUUCAGAUUUUACUCGAACACCGGAAAAUAUUUUCCGAAACAUUUUCAGGUUUUAGCCGAACACCGGAAAAUAUUGUCAUUUUCUUGGAAAAUGACUUUCGGGAAAAUAUUUUCCAGAAUUGGUCCAUUUUCCGCGAAACGAACGGAGUCUAAAAGUCCUAGACUAGUCAUUUGUGACAAAUUCACCUAAAACUAAUUUUUUUACUAUCAAAAACUUUAAAUUAGUACAUUUAUGACAAAUUUACUCUUCGUUAGUUUCCGUUAAAUUAUAUUAAUACCGUAUAAAAACCACAGAAUAAUAUACCUAUGAUAAACAAAAAGUAAAAUCCCAAACUACUAUAACGGAAAUUAACAAAUGGUAAAUUUGACAGUCAAAUAUAAUGGAAAUUAACAAACGGUAAAUAUGAUUAUAAAAAAAUUAGAUUAAUACCCUUCAAAUGCCACAUGUUAUUCAACUCAGCAAUUUGACAGUCAAAUAUAACGGAAAUUAACAAAUGGUAAAUUUGUCAUAGACGUACCAAUUUCAAGAUUUUGUGAUGAAAAAAUUAAUUUUGAAUAAAUUUGUUACAAAUAUAUCAGUUUGGAGUUUUUCGUGAUAUUAAUCUUAAUAAAUAUGAUUAUAAAAAAAAAUUCACUCCAUUGCUCUCUUGCCAUAAUUGGUCGAUGUUUUUAGCAGUAACUUAUCACGGUCCAUAAAAUUCUUUGUUUUUUUUUUUUUGGUCGAACAUUAAAAUUCUAAUAGAAUACCUUUUUCUUUUUUCAGGCAAAAUUUAUGUUUCGGCAUCCUUGGCAUAUCAAAAUUUCUAUCUUGUCCUCCCUAAUCAUUAUUGGUCGCAGACAUUGCUCAACACCAUUAGAAUUUAUUUUUUUUAACGAUUGUCAAUACGAUCAAUUUAAAAAAAAAAAAAAAACUUUACAGUUUCUAAUGCAUUGAUUUUCUUUGUAUCACACAUAACCAAUGCUUUAAAAGUUUUAUUGUAUAAAUAAAGUAUAAUUAACAACUACUUGGCCACGGGACCUUUAACUCGAAAUGCGUCCUAUUUUUAUUGCUUAGUUCAGAUCGACAUCUUGAUAACCUUAUCAUUAAGAUAGUUAUCUAUGAUAACUGUUUUCAUCCUAAGCUUCCUUCCAAGUCGUCAGUGAAAAUUAUUCAAUUUGACAGCCCUGAAAAAUAUAAGUAGAUAAAGUGUAGGAAAGUCUUCAGUCUCCUGAAGAGGACAACUCCAUGAUUAAAUAAAAUAAACACAAGACUCAAGGGACAAGCAUGAACUUAAAUCAACCACCUAAGAGUCAAUUCAACUCCCAAGAUAACCAGAUUUUUCCAUGACAUGUGAUGCAACCAAACUUCAUCAUUGAUCCAAAUUGUUCUGUUCAGUAGUAUAUUCGCAAUGGCAUUCAUAAAUUAUUACGAUGAUACAAUCGUACAACCUACUACAUGCCCAUCAGAUAUAUUGGCAUAAUUUAUUGUUAGAAUUAGUGACUAGUGAUUGCCAAUAUUUUAGUAACUAAUCGAAGGGAAUUUUUGAUUCCCAAAAACUGGAUUCGACAUUAAAUUGAACCCCUAAACUUGUGCGGAAUAUGAGUAUAGGAAAAACACAUGCAUCACCGAUCCUAAGGCACAUCACAGAAUUGAACGUACCUUGUUAGCCACGGAUUAAACACCAACGCCGAUAUGAGGAAGAGAAACUGAUCCCGUUCGAUCCGAUGACGUCAAUUGGCCUUGAAGGGAAGAGAGUGUCGUCUCUUUUUCCUUGCUGUUCCUUUUUGGAGUGUUUCAAGGGAGAGAGGGAGGAGGAACGUACGUAAAAACCAAAAGGUACGUUCCUCUCUCUCUUUUCUCCCUUAAAUACGUCACAUUCAAAAAAGAAACGUGUCCCUUCAUCAUAUCUCUCUAUCCAUGGGCCCUAAUAUUGUGGGCCGGGCUUUUAGGCCCAACAUGGGCAGACAGGCCAACUUAGGCCCAUCACAUUAAUAAUUAAAACCAUCAUCUCCCACCCGCACAUGGUGGGCCGAACAGGAUCCUCUUUACCUCUCUUCAACAUUCAUACAGGUGAAUAAUCUGUGCGACCAGGAUACUUUGAGAGCUUGUUGCCAUACAUCUGUUAGAAAUAUAUAGCAGCUCAUAAUGGGCAUCACACUCUGAGUAGAUUUAGUAUGCAGUAGCCUAGAUCGAUCGAUCACAUUUAUAUCUCUCUUGAUCUCUUUUAAACAAUGAUAUAUAUUGUAUUCACAAUUAUGAUUAUCCCAAAGACAGUCAUAAUUGGUCGACCAGUGAAUACAAAAACUAUAAUGUGAUUCUCCAAAUUCGAUCUUCCUCUUUCCUUCAAACUCUCAAUUUCAGUUCAAUUUGCUUUUCUAGAAAUGUCCUAUUAGAUCGAAUCAACUCAUGACCAUUAGCAACAUCCUAAGAUAGCAAACACUAAAUAGAAAUCUUGAGAGUAAGUAAGAGUCAUGAGGGCACUCAAAUUGAGGAACUAUUUUCCUCAAGAGUCUCACACAGCAUAAAAGUUGAGAUCAAACUUUUGCCACUCUUAUUAGUCGUCUCAUGUAUACAUAGUAUGAAAUACGUAUUACGGUAUUAACUCUUUUCCCAUGGAGCAUAUGUCUACACCUUCAAUACCAUAUAGAUGAUAGUUCAGACAUAUCCAAUGUCUAACUUGAGUUCACGUAUCUACUCAUUCACAAAAUUCAUUAGAACUCACAUCUGGCAUCUUAAACAGAUAAAAUAAAAUAUAUUAGGUAUUUUACUUUCGGAGAUAGUAUAUAUCAUGUCCUCAUCUUAACACUUAGUUAAGGCAACAUAAAUAUUUUUAAGCUUGAGCUCUCGAUUAUCACCUAGAUAAUAAGCUUAAAAACCGUCUCAUCUCUAUUUAUCACAUAGUAAAUAGAGGCGAUUACUCGUGUGAGUGGACUAAUCUUAUAUCUGUCCGACAUAUUUUCUCAACUUAAUAUAAUGCACUGAGCAUUAAGAUGCAUAAAGAUUAAACAAAGAUUCAUAGGCAUUAAUAAUGAAAAAACACAAAUUCAUAAAUGUGAACAACUAAGGGAAAUUACAAUCCAGUACAUCAAACUCUACGCAAUCCUAGAGAUUUUACAUGACCACAAAACACAUCUCUAGGUAUUGGCUUUGUCAUAGGAUCUGCUAUCAUUCUAUGCGUAGAUAUAUAUUGUAAGUUCACAUCCUUUCGUGCAACCAUAUUUUUGACAAAGUUAUAUUCGGUAUCUAUAUGUUUGGUUUUGCCAUGAUAUUUUGGAUCUUUGGUGUACGCUAUAGCUGCUUGGUUAUCAUAGUUAACCAAUAAUAGAUUUGCAACUUUCUCAAUAACAUUUAAAUGAUCCAAAAAUCUCUUAAGCCAAACUCCUUCUUGUACCGCUGCUGAUAAUACCACAAACUUAGCUUCCAUCAUGGACAAGGCUAUACACGUUUGCUUCUUACUACUCCAUGAUAUGGCGCCAUUGUUCAGUAAGAAAGCAAAUCCAGAGGUAGAUUUUCUUUCAUCUAAAUCUCCUCCCCAAUCAGCAAUUGAAUAGCCUUUAAGUCGCAGAUCAUUUCCUUAGUAAUUCAGCUUGUAAUCAGCAGUUCCCUUCAUAUACUUCAGUAUUCUUUUAACGGCUUUCCAAUGUGUUUGACCUGGAUUUGAUGGUAUCUACUCACCAUUCCAACUGCAAAACAUAUGUCAGGUCUUGUACACAUCAUAGCGUACAUCAAGCUCCCAACAACACUAGCAUAAGGAACAUGUUUCAUUUGUUCCUUCUUAUGUGGAGUCCUUGGACACAGUUUAUAGCUCAAUCAUUCACCUUUUGCAAGAGGAGUGUCUAUGGGUUUACAAUCUUGCAUACGAAAUCGUUCAAGAACCUUAUUUAUAUAUGUUUCUUUGAAAGAGAUAACAAUCUCUUUGAACAAUCUCUUGAAAUCUUAACUCCAAGAAUGUAUGCAGCCUCACCCAUAUCCUUCAUCUCAAAGUUGGAAGACAACCAACUCUUGACAGUAUUAACAAACUCCAUAUUGCUUCCGGCAAUUAGUAUAUCAUCAACAUAUAAUGAUAUGAUCACAAAUUGAUCUUUGGAUAUUUUGAUAUAUACACAAUGAUCCUCAUCUAUCAUUGUAAAAUCAUAUGCCAUUAUGGCAUUAUGAAAAUGUAUAUACCAUUGUCUUGACGACUGCUUAAGGCCAUAUAUCGAUCUCAAAAGUCGACAUACAUUUUCUUCUUGGCCUUUUAUUAUGAAACCGACAGGUUGUUCCAUAUAUAUUUCUUCCUCUAAUUCUCCAUUGAGGAAAGCAGUCUUUACAUCCAUUUGAUGUAACUCAAGAUCCAUACUAGCCACUAUUGCUAGAAUAAUGCGAAUUGAGAUAAAUCUCACUACAGGAGAAAAUGUUUCUUCAUAAUCAAUUCCUUUCUGUUGAUUAUACUCCUUCGCCACUAGGCGAGCAUUAUGUCUUUCUAUUGAACUAUCAGCUUUACGCUUUAUUUUGAGAAUCCACUUGUUCCCACUAGCUUUGCGUCCUUUGGAAGAUCAACUAGUUUCCUAACUUGGUUUGACUUCAUUGACUCAAUCUCCUCUUCCAUUACAUGAAUCCAUUUUUCCUUACUAGGGCAAGUUAAUUAAUAUUUCUUGGCUCAUCCUCAUCUUGUGGAGCAACCAUGAAAGUUUUCCCUUUGAUGUCAAAACGUCGACGGGGAAUACUUUUGCGACUUGUUCACCGUAUGGGAGAUUGUACACUUUGCACAUCAUUCCCCAUCAUGCUCCCACUCGGAUUAGAUAAUGAUGAUAUCAUCUCAUCAUGUGGUUGUAAUUGAGAGUGAGUUAAAUUUAAUUCAUCACUUCUCAUAUUACUCCCACUUGGAUGAACUCCACUAAUAUCAUUAUCUUGAUCCAAGGUUUCAAAUAGGGAGUACUCUUCACCUAUUUCGCCCUUCUUAGGAAAUUCAUUCUCUAAAAAUGUGACAUCCCGUAAUUCAAAUUCAGUUAUACUCCCACUUUCCUGCUCACCUAUGAACACAUAUCCUUUCGAAUGUUCGGAGUAUCUUAUGAAAAUACUAUUCUUUCCUCUGUGACCCAAUUUCCCAAACUUGUGAGAGGGUUCAUGAAUAUAGGCAGCACAACCCCAUGGCUUAAGAAAACUUAAGUUUGAUUUUCUACCUGUCCAUAACUCAUAUGGAAUGGAAGUAACUAAUUUGGAAGGCACCCGGUUACGUAUAUAGACAUCAGUUAACAACACAUCACUCCAAAAAGUGAUAGGUAAGUUAGCAUGCGCCAUCAUGGACCUAACCAUUUCCAGUAGGGUUCUGUUUCUUCUAUCCGCAACACCAUUUUGUUGAGGAGUAUAUGGAAUAGACAAUUGUCUUUCUAUUCCUUUUUCAUCACAUAAUUUUCUAAACUCAUCAAAUAAAUAUUCUCGACCUCGAUCAAAUCUUAAUGCUUUUAUUUUCUUGUCUAAUUGAUUUUCUACCAAGUUCAUAAACUUUUGAAACAACUUAAUGUUUUAGAUUUAUGAGAAAUCAAAUAGACAUAUCCAAAUUGAGUAUAAUCAUCUAUAAAAAUGAUGAAAUAAACAGUCUCAUGCCUUCCUUUCACAUUCAUUGGACCACAAACGUUAGAAUGGAUUAAUUGCAAAAGAAAUUCAACUCUUUUACCUUUUCCAAAUGGUUUUCUUGUCGUUUUCCCUACUAGGCAAUACUCACAUAUGAGCAAAUCGGCUUUUUCAAUGGUGCCCAACAAGCCCUCUUUGGCUAGUCUAUUCAUACGUUGUUGGCCAAUAUGACCAAGUCUAGCAUGCCACACAUUCACAUCAUUAUCAUAUGAAUUAGAAGAUGUGAGAAGGGAAUAACAAACAUUUGCAUUAACAUAGUCAAUAUCUAAUACAAUGAAACCAUCCAGAAAAUAACCACAAUUAUAGAAAUUUGUGUCCAAAAACAAAUCCACACCUCUAUUAUGGAAGUUCAUAUUAAAACCUAGCUUGACCAACACUAAAACAGAUACUAAAUUCCGACGAAUCUUUGGAGCAUACAAUACAUCAUGUAGGAAUAAAGUGCGUUCACCACGCAUAUUCAAUUGGCAGGUGCCAAUUCCUUUUACUUUAGCUCUGGAGUUGUUUCCUACAUAGAUCUAUUUAGUUACAGUUGGUACUCGUCGGAAUUCCACGAAAGAUUCUCUAUCAUUCGCUACACGGUUUGUUACUCAUGAAUCCACAAUCCACAAAGGAUUAGACUCAUUUAAGAAUACAGAACUCGACACAUAAGCAAAGUUCUAAAAAGAACAGGGGGUGUAUACCUUCUUUGGCUCACGACAGUCAUGAGCAUAGUGACCCUUCUUGUCACAAUCGUAACACUUCACCCUUGUAAGCUUCUUCAUUCAAGGACGCUUUCCUCUUUCAUAUUGGUUAAGCUUAGGUUUCUUCCCUGAAUGACUUGCUUCCUUGCCUUUCCCUUUAUCGAACUAGUUAAGACGUUUACGCUUAGAGCUCGAAGCUCCAUGUGAGCUAGAACCAGUAUGAUAGAUUUCAGCCUCCAGCUUAGCCGCCAAGAGGCGGUCCUCUUCCAGCUCAAGAUGACGCACUGCAUCCUCAAAGGUUUUGAUAUUCUCAUUAUGGGUCAAGUGCACCUUCAUAUGCUCCCAACUCUGAGGCAAUGAACGAAUCACUGCUUGCACUUGCUGCUCAUUAGUCAGGACAUGGCCAGCAUCUUUCAGCUCAUUAAUCAUAUUUGACAUAUUUCUAAAAUGUUACUUCAUGGUCUGACCAUGAGACUUCCUAUAAGAGUCAAACCUAAUAGUAAGCUGCCUCAGUCUGGUCACCGAAGUAUGACCAAAUCUUGCUGCCAAUGCUUCCCAUAUUUCCUUGCCAUUCUCAAAACGCUUGAACUCUCACAUGACGUCAUUUUCCAUGCUACUCAACAACGUAAUGCGAUCAAGAGAGUUCUUUCUUUUCCAUACAACAAAUGCUUCCUUAUCUCUCUCGUGCUGUGCAAUAUUUCCUUCUUCAUAUUCUACCAUGAUCAGGUUAAGAGCUUCUAGUGCCUCUUGCUCUUCCAGCACAUAUUGGAUUUGCAUGUGCCAUAUUUCAUAGUUAUCACCAUUGAGCUUUUCACCUUUGUUCGGCUCGGCAACUAUGCUAUUUGUGGCUGAAGCUAUUGAUCUGAACACAUUAGACAUAUAUGAACAAAUUAUUAAUACCUAUCAUUUAUGCAUCCAUUUUGCACAGACCCAUCAUAUUAAUGAACAAUUUCAAGUAAGGUUUCAUAAUCAAAAGGUCACUACGUUUCCAAUUAUCCUCCAAAAAUCCAAACUUAAAACUAUUAUUAAUAUAAUUGUCUUAUGCAAAAUAAAUUCUAUGAAGCUACAAAAACUUCUAUGAAAUACCAACAGCAGUCAACAAUAACAGAAAGUAAAUAAUAUUUGACAUCCAAGAGAAUAUUAAUGCUUUCACAUAAUACAACUAACAUAUCAGUUGCCACACCAACAAUAACUAGGUAGAAAAAUAUUACAAGAGAUGUCCACAAAGCACACUAAACAAAGACUAGCCAAUACAUCUAACACCAAGUCAAUACACGAACUGGAAAAGAUCCUCUUUUGUUUAAUUUCUUGAUAUUUUCCCUUGUAACAAUCCAGUAAUAAUCAUCUAUAAAAUUCAUCACAAUUUUCCUAUAUGAAGCGGCUUUGUUGACAUCCCAUAUGCGAUUCAACACUCCUUACCAUUCUUAUGGAAGAGUGUUCAUGAAAAAUCACACAAUCUUAGACUGUGGCAUAGGACGACCAUUCCAUAUAACCUUUCAAAUUUUCCCGUUGAUUUCAAGAACGUGAUCAAUUAAGCCACUACUCUCCCAUCGAUGAUCAGUCAGCUCAGCUAUCAACUUAGAAAGCAUUUCCUUUUGUUCAUCGGUAAUUGCGCGAACAGGUGUGCGCAACCUAAGGGGAGGCAUUGUUCCUGCAAUAAAUGCAGAACAAAUAAGGGAUCACGUAUAAUCCACAUAGACUUAAUUGGAAAAAGAAACACAUUCUUUUCCUUUUUUUUUUUGUCAACAGUCAAAAUCAACGGUCAACGGUCAACUGUCAACUGUCAACGAUGGCAGGGUCGAGGUCAACGGGUGGUCGGGUCGGGUCGGGCCGGUCUGACCGGUCGGGUCGGUCGGGUGGACCGACCCGGCACGUGCGGCACACGUGCAGCUAACGUCACAAUGACGUCAGCUGAUGCGUGCCUCGCAUGCGCCAUCAACGGCCCCCCGCACAUGUGCGUCGGCCCCAAGCGUGCGUGCGAUGCACGCGCUUGCGUCGUCAUAUCGGCGCAUCGCUCCAGCUGCGAGUGAGGGCGCGUCCGGCAGCCUUUGGCGGCAUUCUGCCACUCGUCGCGCUCGUCUCGACGAGACCUUCCAUCCAACGCCAUCAGAAAUGGAUUUCGACUUACAAAAACUCGAAAAAAUGGAUGAACAAUGCUCGGGUGUCGGGAUUUUUCCGCCCCGAUCAGUGUCGGCCGAUUAAUUUCACGAAAAAUCAAUAAGAAAUCAUCCAUAAACAUGAAAUGUGACGACCCGAGCGGCGGUGCGCGGGGAGGAGGGAUGGCGGUGCGUCCGCGCCUCCGGUCCUCGGACGCGCGCAAGGGAAGGGGAAGGGAUUCCUCUCCCUCUUGUCCCACAUCGCUUAGGGAGGGGUCAUGGGCCUUGUAUAUAAGGCUUGGGUUCCCUUAAACUUGCGUGACGCGUUUUAAAACCGUGAGGACUCAGUGUCCAAAGCGGAUAAUAUCACACAAGUGGGACCCGGGAUGUUACAAAUGGUAUCAGAGCCGACUCCCGACAGCGUGUGGGGCCACAGCGAGGACGCUGUGCUCCCAAGGGGGGGAGAAUGUGACGACCCGAGCGGCGGUGCGCGGGGAGGAGGGAUGGCGGUGCGUCCGCGCCUCCGGUUCUCGGACGCGCGCAAGGGAAGGGGAAGGGAUUCCUCUCCCUCUUGUCCCACAUCGCUUAGGGAGGGGUCAUGGGCCUUGUAUAUAAGGCUUGGGUUCCCUUAAACUUGCAUGACGCGUUUUAAAACCGUGAGGACUCAGUGUCCAAAGCGGAUAAUAUCACACAAGUGGGACCCGGGAUGUUACAUGAAAGGGGUUGGGAAAACCAUGGAAAAGGAUCGGGAAACAAGAACUACGGCUCUGACACCAAUGAAGGGAAUUUCUGAUUCCCAAAAACUGGAUUCGACACUAAAUCGAACCCAUAAACUUGUGCGGAAGACAAGCCCGGGAAAAACACAUGCAUCACCGAUCCUAAGGCACAUCACAGAAUCGAACGUACCUUAUUAGCCACAGAUUAAACACCAACGCCGAUAUGAGGAAGAAAAACUGAUCCCGUUCAAUUUGAUGACGUCAAUUGGCCUUGAAGGGAAGAGAGUGUCGUCUCUUUUUCCUUACUAUUCCUUUUUGGAGUGUUUCAAGGGAGAGAGGGAGGAGGAACGUACGUAAAAAUCAAAAGGUACGUUCCUCCCUCUCUUUUCUCCCUUAAAUAUGUCCCCUCCAGAAAAGAAACGUGUCCCUUCAUCAUAUCCCUCUAUCCAUGGGCCUUAAUAUUGUGGGCCGGGCUUUUAAGCACAACAUGGGUGGACGGGCCAACUUGGGCCCAUCACAUUAAUAAUUAAAACCGUCACUAACCAACUAUAUUAUAUUCACCACUCAAAACUAAAUCAUAUUGAUAAUGAUAACUAAUAAUAUACCGUUGGACUUAGGAAUUAGAAAAAUUUAAUUGUAUUGGUAACUUACAGACAUUCACGUGCCAACUGGUAAAAUCUCAAAACAAGUGGAAUUAUACUAUCGGGUUUGCUGAUGAUAAAACUAUUAUUUCGUUAGUAACUACAAAUAGUUGCUUCACUUGUCCCCUUGUCAAAUCUAACAAGAGACAGCCUACUACUGGGUUGUCGAUGAUAAAUUUGUUAUUUCACUGAUAAUUUACAAAAUCGUUGACCAGAUUGAUAAGAUAGCGGUCACUUUCUAUGAUAUUUCAAAUUUCCUACCGACCAUAUAUAUACAUGCAGGGAACAAUAGUCCGUUUAUGGCAAACAGAAUUUAGGAAUCUGCCAAACCAAUAUGAAAUCAUCCUGCUACUAUAUAAUUGAGUGUGAGUCCGUCCACUCCAAGCAUUUCCCUGCAACCACGUGUUCAUCAUGCUUCCUACAAUCGUCCGAUAAACAUACAGAAAUCGUAUUUGAGGUUUUUGCUUUGCAGCAAGAGACACAGCGACAAAUGACUAUGGACUAACCAAGACCACUGGUUACAGUGGAGAGAUAUAGAAUACAAUGUACAGCAGUAUUAUACAACAUGGAGAAAACAAAAUCUACAUUUCAUGCAGGUCCUAGAUGAACGGAAUGACAGGCCUUUGUUCCAUAAAUUACAAAGACUUCGUUACACAGCAUCAAAAAGAAGAAAUCUAACAUAACUUGGAAUAAAACUGGCAGAAAUCACAACUGAUGACACAAGGUGCGGUCCGCUUGCUUUUCAAUGUUGACAAAAGGGCACUUCUGUCCUGUCAAAGGCCCUUUUGUUUCUCUCUUACCAUGGCAUGGACAUAAUGCAAUGCUGUGUAUCACUGACCUAUAAGAUAUAACAUAUCAGCUUAUCAGAUGUAUCAUCUCAGCUUAUCUUCACCAGCACCCUUGAUCUUCAACUCACACGUCGUCCUGAAGAAGUUCAAGACCGAACUCUCUUCCCAUCCCCGAGUGAUCUGAAGAAAUGUUCAUUCUGAAUUAUUGAUUCUUUAUUUAUUAGGUACAUGAGCUACCACCUAUCUAAUGUUUCAGCAAACAGACACCUAACAAUGUAAAUAUGUUUAAGUAACACAAUCUCCUUGAUUUACCAUCAAUCAAAGUACCAACUAAUCAAUAUGACGCUAAUGGCAUGUAAUGGCUCAUUCAAUCAUGGGUAGUUGGUUUGGCAUUUAACUCAAAGCAUAUUGGCAUACAAAAAUUUCGUACUUGCAAGAAAAUUACUUAUGUAUCUACAUAUCAAAUGAAUGUUUUCGUUUUUAAUUUCAUGGAUAUCUUUGUGCAGACAUGAUAGUAUAUCCAAAGAGGUGAUUGCAUAUAAAUAUACAAACAGGGACGUUUUCAAAAGUCAACUUAAUAAUACAAUAUAUUGUGUUGCUUACAAACUAGACCGUCUUUCAAUUAUAAAUUGGUUUUUCAUGAUCCUUCUCACGAUUUUAUUCUACACAAUUCAUUUGUCUGAUUCUAUUAUGAGAAUUUAAUUUUUCAAAAGAAUUAUUGAUCAUGAACAAUCUUGGAAACCAAGUACUUUCAAUGAAACAUCAAAACAACAAACUCAGACAAUUUCAAUUUGCUGACUUAGUCACAUGAUUGGGUUGAUUUUUACAUCAAAGGAUAUGAUUUUCAAACUUCAGUUAAACACAAUUUAGACCACUUUGGCAAAAGUUUGCUUGAAAUAAGAAAAGUUCACUUCCGGCAAUUGAUUGUCAAAUUCCAUGUCCAAUCGGGUACAAUGUGCCUGAACAGAUCCCUGUAAUAUGUUCUCCUCAAACGCUUGGAGUCGAAAACAAAAAAAAAGUACUAGCAUGUAAAUUCCUAUGCUGUGAAAAUUUACCAAAUCUUGCUUGGUAAAUCCAUCAAACUUAUAGAUCUCUGUAUUUUGCAAAUAGUUUUUGCUCUCACCAGAUAUAGAGCUGCUAUAGUGGGUUCUUGUCGAUGGUUUAUAGAUCAAUGAGGAACCAUACAGCUCAUUAAACGAUAAACCUUGACACCAACUAUGAUGCAAGCCAAUGGUAGGCUUCUCAAACAAUAGGAUCGGGAGAGUGACUCGCACACGGAAAAACUGGGCAAACACAAAUUUCAGCACUGCGCAAGCUCAGGAGAACAGUCGUAUCUUUGUCGAUACAGAUCGGAUCGACUUGAUUCCAAAGCCAAAUGAACAAAAACUUCUGGAUCUACAAUUUCUAUGUUUUGGGUUUUCUGAAAUAAGCACUGUAGGAUGGUCGAAAUUGGGUUGGAAAUAACGAACAGAAUAUGAAAAGAUAGCAACUCUGUUGGGUGCUCUUCUAGGCCUCCAAGGAAGUUGAGGGGGCACCAAUUCUUCUAGAUCGAUGACUGCAACUCUUCAAGAAUGCAGAUUUCAAAAGCCCCGACCCUUCAAGGACGGAGUGAAAACUCUUCUAGGUUUUCAAAGGGAUGAACUCUACAAGGUUCACGAUACUUGCUUCAAAGCAAAGUUUUUUUCAUUCAUAAAAAGUUGUUCGUCUUCUACAAGAAAAUGGGCUUAUAUCGUCAAAGAAAUAAAGACGGAGCAUUGAAACUAGGAGAAAUAAAGAAGAACAUUAAAACUAAGAGAAAUAAAGACAGAACAUUAAAAUUAGCAGAAAUAGUAGAAGCAUAACGCCUUCAUGGCAAGGUGUCUUUCCAACUUCUGGGAUGGACUCAAGAUGUCGAUACGGCUUCUCGGUUUCGUCGAGCUUGAAUGCGGGCCGAUCUUCUUGGUCGAGAGAGUUGAUCUACAAUGCGGGUUGCAUCAUCCUCCCCAUCUUUAAAAGAAUUCGUCCUCGAAUUCUCGCCAUCAUCAUCAGAAGAAUCUCCCCCCUACUAGGUGCCAACGUAAUCUUCUUGCCUCCAAAUUCAAAAGAAUAUGUAUUUCGAUAGCCAUCAUGCAUAGUCCUCUUAUCGAAUUGCCAUGGUCGACCAAGAAUAAUGUGACUAGCAUCCAUUGGCAAAACAUCACACCAUAUCUUGUCACUAUAAACAGAACCAAUGGAUAGAUUAACAAGACAUCGUUUUGAAGCAGUUACCUCAGCACCUAUCUUCAACCACAACAUUUUAUAAGGCAUAGGGUGCAUUUUUAAUUCCAACUUUAGCUUGCUUGCCGCUACUUCAGAAAUUAUAUUCUCACAACAACCAAAGUCAAUAAUUAAUUAACACACAUUUCCCAUGAUUGUGCAAGCAGAAUGAAAAAUAUUGGUACGCAGCCACCUAUCUCCAAUGUCGUCUCGAGGAGUAAGAAAAAUUUUCCUCACCAUAAGAAGUUCACUAGUGUCAGCAUGCACUAUUUGUUCAUCAUCCGCAACUUCUUCAUCAUUGUUCAACUCCUCUUUGAGUGGAUCCUCAGCAUUCUCAUCAAAAUCAUCAUCCACCGAAAAGGCUUUACUAGCUGGUUGAUUUUUAUUGAUUGGACAAUUGCUAGCACAAUGACCCAACUCCCCACAAGAAUAGCAACGUAUUUCGGACGUAGCAGGUUGCUUCGAAACAUGGGGCUGAGUAGAAGGCUUACUAGCAUACUGCUGUCUCCGAGAACGAGAGCUCUCUAUUUUGAGUGCCCGUUGAUGUGCAUCUCCUAAGUCCCAAAUGUCAAGGACUUCCAAGGCUUCUUGAAUGUUUCAAGUAUUUGUUCACAAGCACAUCCUCUGGGUCCUGGAUAUUGUUACGAAUCACCAACUCAUUGAAUUCAUUGGUGUAUUGGUCCACCGUUUGCAUACCUUGUUUUAGAUUUUGGUAUCGUUGGUAGAGCUCUCUCUUAUAUCCUUUGGGAAGAAAAUAUUUUUGAAUCUUGCCCUCCAUCUUUCUCCAAAAAGUGACUAGUGCUUUGCCAACGGCUUGGCGAGUUUGCUUUUCACGUCUCCACCAAGCAAUGGUCUUGUCUCAGAAUCGCAUAGCAAUGAUCCCAACUCGAUGAUUCUCCGGAACAUUUCGAUGCUCAAAUACCUCAUUCUCAAGUGUUAGCCAAUCAACAAUUUCAUCAGGAGACUCAGUACCUGUAAAUUCUGGAACAUCUUUCUUGACUUCCUUCUCCCAAUCUGGUUCACAAAUAUGUUGUAAACGAUGUCGAACAUGCCUUCGACCGUGAAUAGAUUGAACACUCUUCGAAGAGGAAGAGUCACCAUGGGAAUCUUCAGUCCUGGAACGAGGUGGAGAAUUAUUUGCUUCAGCCCUCAAACGCUGAACUUCUUGCGUCAAUUCGUCAAUUUGUUGUUGCAUAUUCUCAGCGAGUGUGUGCAAUUCAUUGAGGGGAACGGUUCUGCCGCCACGACACCUAGCUUGUCUUGGAGGCAUUGUCCUCUCCUCCAAAGCUCGAUACCAAAUGAUGCAAGCCAAAGAUAGGCUUCUCAAACAAUAGGAUCGGAAGAGUGACUCGCACACGGGAAAACAGGGCGAACAGAAAUUUCAGCACUGUGCAAGCUCAGGAGAACAGUUGUAUCUUUGUCGAUACAGAUUGGAUCGACCUGAUUUCAAAGCCAAAUGAACAAAGACUUCUGGAUCUACAAUUUCUAUGUUUUGGGUUUUCUGAAAUAAGCACUAUAGGAUGGUCGAAAUUGGAUUGGAAAUAACAAACAGAAUAGGAAAAUAUAGAAACUCCGUUGGUUGCUCUUCUAGGCCCCCAAGGAAGUUGACGGGCACCGAUUCUUCUAGAUCGAUGACUACAACUCUUCAAGGAUGCAGAUUUCAAAAGCUCCGACUCUUCAAAGAUAGAGUGAAAACUCUUCUAGGUUUUCAAAGGGAUGAACUCUACAAGGUUUACUUGCUUCAAAGCAAAGUUUUUUUCAUUCAUCAAAAGUCAGUUCAUCUUCUACAAGAAAUUGGGCUUAUAUCGUCAAAGAAAUAAAGACGGAGCAUUGAUACUAGGAGAAAUAAAGACAGAAUAUUAAAACUAAGAGAAAUAAAGAUAGAACAUUAAAAUUAGCAUAAAUAGUCAAAGCAUAACGUCUUCAUGGCAAGGUGUGUCUUUCCAACUUCCGGGAUGGACACAAGAUGUCGGCUUCUCGAUUUCGUCGAGCUUGAAUGCAAGCCGAUCUUCUUGGUUGAGAGAGCUGGUCUUCAAUGCGGGCUGCAUCAAACUCCAUUUAUGUAGUCCAUGAGAUGAUUAUUUCUCGAAUCUAAUCAAUACCAGAAGAAGCACAGAUUUAAUAGAGCAUGACAACGGGAAGUAGAAGAUGUUGCUGUAUGAAAAGAGGAAAAAGGAAAUAAAGAAGAACAAGAAGAUUGCAAUACUGAACUUGGAGGGACUGUUGAUAAUAAUAAGGUCAACCAAUAUCAGAUACAAAGAAAAAGUGCACUGCUCACCUUAAAGAAAAAUAGACACCAAUCUCUUUCAAUUGAAAAUAGAGAGCAUGCUUCGCAGGUUGCUGUUAAGAUCACAAUAUGCACAAACCACCACAUUGAUAUUGGUAUGAACAAUCACAGUGCCUCAAGCAGCAAUUAUGAUAGUGCUUCUCACAGGGCUGAUCCUCAAUGCUGCAAAAGUUUAUUUCCUUAAUUUCCAGACUUGCGCAUUUUGAUAAGUUUGGCAACCUGUUAAGAUAAUAGCAUUCAGACACAGAAAACCUUCUCAAUUGUGAUGCUUGUUCGAGAUCAUUAAGGUUCUUAACGUUGCAGCGAGAUAUCUUCAACACUUGCAGGAGCCUUAGGUUCCCAAGCCCAGAAAUUUCUGAUGCAGGGCAGUCACAGAGCUCCAAUUCGGACAGAGUUUCCAAAUUAGAGAAAUCCAUCCCCUGGAUCUGGCAAUUCUUGAGAAUCAAUUUUGAUAAUCUUGAGGGAAGUGGUGGGAGGUCUAGCAGGUCUGUGCAGGAUAAAUCAAGUUUUUUUAGUUGAGUAAGAGCAUUAAAAUCUUUCGGUAGACUAGUAACAUUUGGAAGGCAGAGCUUUAGGGUUUCUAAGUUGGAUAAAGCUGAUAUCCAGCCAAAGCUUUCCGUUUGGGACAGCUCAAUCUCCUCCUCAUUGGGAUCAUUAACUAACUCCAAAACUUUCAAAUCCCUCAAAUAUGAAAGUUCCUGAACUAAACUCAUGUUAUUGGUUCCCCAGCACAAACUCACCAAACUAGAUGGUAAUUUUGGAAGAGUCUGAAGUUUGUCACAGUGGAGCAAGUGGAGGGUCUGAAGAUGAGAAAGAUCAGAAAUGCUCUCAGACAGGCUAAAAAUCAGGGUAAACGAUAACUUCAAGACUCUCAAAGAUGAUAACCCUGAAAUAUCACACGGAAUUUUUCCAGUCAGACUCCGGCAGCCAGAAAAAUUUAGGACUUCUAACUUCCCUAGAUUUGUGAUAUUUUUAGGAAAAUUACUUAUGUGAGUGUUCUUCAUCCUUAGGACCUGCAAUCUAUCCAAAUUUUUUAUAGAUUCUGGCAAUAUCUGAAUUCUGGUGUUUGACAGAUCCAUUUUCCUUAGUGACCUAAGCAUCCCAAUGGAAUUGGGAAGUGCAGUUAUCCGCCGACAGUCUCUUAAAGAAAGCUCUUCAAGUCCCUCCAACAAUUUAACAGAAUUUGGGAGUCCUGGGAUAAUAGUUUUAUCCAAUGCAAGAUAUGACAGAGACCUCAAACAACCAAUAGACUCGGAUACUUCGGCCAAACGUUUGCAGCUGGAAGCACUGAGAGUUUUAAGUUGCUGCAUAGAACCUCUUAAGAAAUGAAGGUGACGGAUGGAAGUUUCAUCAAUCAAAAGCUCUUCCAAAUUAUCCAAGGAACCCAUCUCUUCUGGCAGCAGGGCAAUCUGAGUGGACUUGAUGUUCAAAGACUUCAAAGUUUUCAAAUUACCAAUGGAUUUGUCAAUAAAUGACAAAUGAGAACAUUGUUCGAGAGUAAGUCUUUCUAAUUUGCUAUCAGCUGGGAAGCGUGGCGUUUUACAUAAUUGACUGCAACCGGUUAGCUCCAAAACUUUCAAUUUUUUGGCCUUCUGUGUAACAAAGAGACAGAAAAGGUUCAGUUUCUAUUAGCUAGUCUUCACCAAAAGUGGAAAAAGAAAUCUGCAUGAUACCUCCAUUAUUUGUGUCCAACCUUCCCAUUCAUCUGCCACCGAGCUCCAGGACAGAUCAAGAAUGACCAAGUUCUCUAGGUGCAAAAGAAGAGGCUCAGAGUUAUUAUAGCACCCUCGCCAAUGAAGCCACCUUAAUUCUAAAAGAUGACUAGUAAGAUUUCCUCUCAUAUUAGCUCGAUCCAACUUAAGGAACCUUAAGUUCGAUAGGGGGCCAAAUUCGUUAGGUGUGAAACAGUCAUUGGAUCCUUUGUCAAAGGUGAGAGCAAGGGCUUGAACAUUUGGAGUACCCUACAAGUAUAAACAUAAACGUAUAUGAAUAAAAAUUGGACUUUGUGCCUUCAUUUUCUUCGCUUCUUCUACUAAUUAAAGGGUAAAAGGGAAUCGGCUAAAUCACAAAGAAAUAUUAACUGUAGGUAGAUAAAAAAGUAGUUCUGGCUUUCAGGUUUACCUCCUUCUUCCAUAGUGUGGACAGGGCGUCAUUGUGCACCCACAGCCUACUUCGAUUACGAGGGAGAGGAUCUUCAUUUAACACAAUUCCUCUGCCUAGAGUUCUCAGUAGGUUGUGCAUUGAUAGCUCAUUGUUUUCUCCAAUUUUCACCAAAGACAUGACAAGGAGAGCUUCAAUCCCACUAGAUGGAUAAAGUUUACAGUCUUCCCACAUAUAAAAGGCAAUUCUCUCAUCCUUUCCAAUCAGAAAGCAUGCUAUAUCCAAGAAUAUUUGCUUUGCAUUUUCUUCUAAAGCAUCAUAACUUAUCUUCAACACAGCUUCAACUUUCUUAUGAGGAGCAACUUUCAGUUUCUCCAACAUAUCGUUCCAUGUACCCUCUAAUUUUCCAAACAAAAGUGAACCUGUCACCUCAAGUGCUAGAGGAAGUCGCCCAGUAGCCAAUAUGAUGUCAUUGGAAAGGCUUUCAAAGCCCUUGCUAGGAGAAUCCCUUCCAAAAGCCCGCUUAGAAAACAGUUGAAGAGCUUUAUCUUCUUCCAUUGGUUCAAUCUCAUAGGUUUCAGCCUCUUUGAACUUCAAAAGGAUGUCCCUCUUUCUAGAAGUCACAAUAAUCCUGCUUCCUAGACCAAACCAACUAAGCUCCCCAACAAACACAUCGAGUUGGUCGACAUCUUCCACAUCGUCAAGGAGAAUGAGCACCCAUUUAUGGCGAAAUUGUUCAGCAAGAACUAUCGUAGCAUCAUCAGAACAUCUGAACCUUACACUUCCUUUUCGGAGGUCUGAGAUCAAUUGAUUUUGCAAGGACAAGAUCCUAUCAUGUUGGCAUAAUUCUCGAAUUUCCUUACAAUAACUAUAACAUUGAAACCGAUCAUAGAGUUGAUUGUAAACAAAUUUUGCAAGAGUACUCUUGCCGACCCCCCCAAUACCAUAUAUUCCAAGAAUUCGAACAUCGCUGCCACAGAUUUCAAUUACUUUUCCAUCGCGAUGCACAACACCAAGCUUUCUCAUUAUCUCUCGCACGUGAUGGUCAACUCCAACUAAAUAUUUUGUGACAGUUAGUCGACCUUUCUUCAGCUUUUGCUGAACAAUUGGGAUGAGCUCGUCUAUGAGCUUGGAAUGAUGCCUACAGAAAUCAAAUUAUGGAGACAUGAUGAGAAAGUGAAUCAGAACAAAAAUCAUACAGAAGAGCAAAGCCGUAUGCGAGGAGUUGAACCGGGAGCAAUGUAGCAUGAGGCAAGAACAAAGGAGGCAUAUAAAUGCACCUAAACAUCCUGCAUUUGAAUGAUCGAACUUGUUCUGAAAUCCAAAUGGUUAAGUAGAGUUGGGAAACAGAAAAGAUUGAAAAUGAAGAAUAUUGUCAAAGAUAGCAUGAUUGGUUUACAAUCUGGUGCAUCAAUUUUGUAAAUCAGUUUAAACAUCGAAUUGGAUUUACCCAUUAUGUAUUUUCGCUGUUUCAAAUCCCUUUAACCUUCCGAUCUCUUUGAGAGCCAGCUUCCACUUCUUGAUGGCCUCACUAUCAACCCCGUUCCUCUUGUGUUCGAGAAAGCUCUUCUCAAAAGAAUUCCUGUGGUCUUUCAAAUCCAAGGGCUCAAUGUCAUAGAAAAUAGGAAUUAUUUCUUGACUCAUCGUUUGCUUGCACUCUAAUAUUUGGACCAACUCCAUGAGGCAGCUUUUGCUGGAAGCAUAAUCCCCGGAGAUGAUGGGAAUCAAAACCUUCGACUGUUUGAUCGCUUCAAUCAGUACGGGCUUGAUCUCUUCUCCAACAGGCAGCUCAUCAUCGUCCCGAAAUACAAGUAUUCCAGCAUCUGUCAAGCUUUUGUAUAGGAAAUCUGUAAAACCCUUGCGAGUAUCUGGUCCUCUAAAACUCAAGAACACAUCAUAGUUGUUCCCAGCCAAGUCAGAGCUUGGUGACGAUGGUGAAGAGGGUGAUUCCUGUCAAGUGAGUAAAAUUGGAAAUUCAGAAUGUCGACUACGCAUAGAAAGGCGACCAUCGAAACUUGGGCUUGGGACAGAUUGCCUCAAUUUAAGCAUUAGAAAAUUCAAACAAUCCAUGCUCUGCAAAUGGUUCUCACUCAUCUAAUCUAUUACUGACAACAUGUGAUGAUGCAAUGUUAAAAGAUACAUGAAACUCGAAAAUCAAAUUGAAGGAACGGGCCCUUGACGCAGGGAUUAAUGCAUUUGGAGUAUGGCUCUCCCAAAUUCCGUAGACAGUUAUGUUUAUGUGUUCCGAAACAUUCUCUAUUCUAACUUACGCUCUGCAUUGGCGUGAAGUAUGUGAGGCUGUACUAUUGACAAUGCAAUUUUCCCGGCCAAAAGAAUAAACGGGGAGCGAAUUACAAGGGCUAGUACAGAAUCAAGAAGUAAAGUCACGGAAUCUAACCUUAGUAGUCCUCCGCCUCUUUAGAGAGCCAGCGAUCGCGGUCGCGCCAAGAGUCGUCACGAGCAGUAUGCGAUAUGGAAGAGGCGAAACACUCCCGAGAAAUAAGGAGCACGGCCACCAUCACAGUCCUCCAUUCCAUCUUCUUCCUCUGUUACGCGCGUGUGAUGGGGACGAGGUUUUCCAUCAAGUGAUCCACCAUGUGAAAGAUCCGACGCUCAGGAGAGAGAACUUCCACCGGAUCUUUCGAAAAAGGACUUCACAUGCCCCCACGAGCCCUUUUUUUUUUUUUUUUUCUUUGCUUCAUCAAAAAUAUUUAAUAUUAUCCCUAAUUUUAAAUUAAUAAAAUGACUUUUAUAUAAUAUAAGAACUAUAUUUAUCAUGUACCAAAAGUUCAUAAACUAUAUUGAAUAAAUUAAAAUUUUAGAAUCACAUCAAAUAUUAAGUUAAAAUUUAGAAACCCCACUUUACAAAUUAAAAAUUUAAGAACCACAUUAUAUAUUAAGUUAAUAUUCCAAAAUAAUUUAUAUCAUUAUUCUUAGAAUUUCAUGUGUCUUUAAUGAUGCACUCUUUUUUCGAAAAGUGAACCAGCAAUUACAAACAUGUAGUGGAUUUGGAUCGAAUUAAUAUGUCGUUUAAAUGUAUUGAUGAUCCUUUUAUUAAACUUUUUUAGCAUAUGUUGCCUGAGGUAGAGAACAAAUAAAAAUGGGAUAAGUGUAUUGAAAGUCUUAAAACUUGUUACGAAUAUAUAAUUGAGUUCUCAAAUUUUCAAAAAAGGCAAUCAAGUGCUAAAAGUUAUCAUGAAAGUUUAGUUUAGUUUUAAAACUUUCAAAAUGUUCAAUCAAAUCUUAAAACUUGUUACAAAAGUGCAAUUAAAUUCUAAAAAUUUUAAAAAGUACAAUCAAUUGAAGGAGUUAGAUUGUACUAAACUGAUAAGUUUUAGAACUUGAUUGCACUUUUCAAAAGUUUUAGGAUUCAAUUACAUUUUGUGACAAGUUUUAAAACUUAAUGACAUUUUUUAAAAUUUUAGAAUUCAAUUACACUUUUAUGAUAAGUUUUAGAACUUCCAAUGCAUUUAUCCCAAUAAAAAAAUUUCAUGGACAGAGGGAAAAAAAAAAUCAGAAGUAAAAAUGAAAGAAAAGCCAAUUUAAAAAAAAAACCAAUAAUUAAAAUAUUUUAAAAUAAAAAGAAAUCGAAGAAAGAGAAUGUCACGCCGGGAUUUGAGGGUUUGGGGGCAGCGGCUGGUGGCGGUGGCCAUGUGCUCGCGUCCUAGUCGAAUGGGAAUUCCCCUGUUUGUUACCUUUGCCAGCACAGAACUGGAGAGCCCCAUGUGCUGGUGACGGUUGAAACGCGAAAAUUAUCAAAAUUUUUAUUUAUUUGAAUGACCGAGCGAGACACUUGUGCUAAAAUCCGACCGUUGCAUUUUUAAUCCGCGAACCGCGCUUGCCUAAGAAUCUCUCUCCUUUUCGUCUGCUGCUAGUCAAUUGGGCGUCUCUUUUUGGUCAAUGAAUGUUAAAUGAGCCUCGGUUGUACCGGAGCAGUCGCCCCAUGCUUGCUGCAUCAUCGGAGAGCUGGACCUCGAAAGGACAAAGCGGUUUGGCUCCAGGAUUCGGCGGCUGUUUCGUCCCGGCAGGGAAAGGUGAGUUUCGCCCGACCCCCUCUGUUUCCUUGUGAUAUUUGAGCUGGGUCAUGGUCAAAUAGUCGCUCGGAUCUGGAUGUGUUGCAACUGACCCACAAAGAAUUCGCUUUCCCUCUUGCCUCACCGUUUCCGUUGCCUGCCUAGCGGACGAUGGCCCGCCGGAGCUUCGCCGCCGUCGGUCUCCGGUGGCUGAACCUUACAGAGAGCCGGGAAGGUCUUUUUUUAUUCGGACUUGGAAAUAGAUCGUGACGGUCAAUACAUAUCAGGAGAUAAAAAAAAAAAAUUUGCAAUACUCGAUUGAGGGUAGGGCAUGAUGUACGCAUUUUAUGAAAAUCCUUAGAAUAUUGUUUGUGUUUGAUCAAACUUGCAUCAAGCAAAGGGCGGCCCCUCCGUUCCUUUAACUUUUCAUUUUCUUUUCUGUCUCCCUUUAUCAAAUAUAUUUUGCAAAAUGCCGAGGGAAAAAAAAAUUGUAUUAGAAAUCCAGGCAUACAUUAUAGAGAGCAAUUAUAGUUGAUGUGAUUACUCAGUGUGGCAACUGGCAACACUCAGUCACUCAAGUCUUUUAUUUCUGCAGCCCCAUUUAUUUGUUUUCCUUCACUCUUGUUGGCAGAUCAUUGCCCAUCAUAGCAUCGCGAACUUACAGUGUUGGCUGCUGAAGAUAUCACAAUCAAGAUGAAGGGAAAAGAUGAUUGUCCAACUGACCAUUUAGUCGGGGUAGAUGGUCAAUUGGAAGCCAUGUUGGACUUGUUGGACUAUGACUUUGGUGGUGCACGGUGUCUUGGGAUUCAUGGCCCAGGUGGUAUUGGAAAGACAACCCUUGCUGAGGCUCUUUUCGACAAGCUCAUUUCUAAGUUUGAACAGUAUUGUGUCUUGCGAGAUGUCAGUGGAUCAUCACGCCGUGAUGGCCUAGUAUUUCUGCAAAAGAAAUUGCUAUUCCACAUCCUCGGUGAGACUAAGCCAAUGGUUGACAUCAAUGACGUUGAUAAUGGAAUGAAGGUUAUCAGGGAAAACACUCCAUGUCAAGAAGGUGUUAAUUGUUCUAGAUGAUGUGGACCAUAGUGAACAGCUUGAGAAACUAGUUGGUAAGGUCACUUGGCUUGGUGCAGGAAGUAGAGUCAUAAUUACGACAAGAAACAAAAGUAUCCUGGAGAGUGGAGAGAAAAGAAUACUUUAUGAACUGAAAGAAAUGAAUUCUGAUCAAGCACUUCAACUUUUUAUAAAUCACGCAUUUAAAAGAGAAUCUCCUAGAGAUGAUUGUUAUGACAGGCUUUCAAGGGAUAUUGUUUCUACUAUUGGAGGACUUCCUUUGGUUGUUGAGGUCAUGGGUUCAUUUCUUCAUUGGAAGCACAAAUCUGUAUGGAAAGAUACACUAGAAAAGUUAAGGAACAUUGCUCAUGAAGACGUCCACUGGAAGUUGAAAGUUAGCUAUGACGCCUUAAAUUUCAGGCAAAAGCAGAUUUUUCUAGAUAUUGCAUGUUUUUCAUUUCUUGGGAAGGAGAUUAAUGCUUAUUACAUCUGGAAAGGCUGCAACUUAUUUUCACAAAUAGAAAUUGAAGUCCUUAGUUCUCUGUCAUUGAUAACUAUUAGAGAGAAUGGCAGCUUAUGGAUGCAUGACUUGCUAAAACACCUAGGGCGCCAAAUUGUCUAUGAGGAAAACUUGGAUCCAGCAAAGCGUAGCAGAUUGUGGAUCCCUGAGGAAGCCAUGGACACGGUAAAAACAAGAGAGGUAAUACAUUAAGAGCACAUAUUCUUUCUUUGACUAGAAUUGGGGAGUUGAAUGAAGUUUUAACCUAUGUGAAGAAGAGAAAUUGAAAGUUCUUUUUAAUGGUGCAUGUAUUUGGCAGAUUAAAGAAAAUAUUGAAGCGCUCAGUCUAGCUGGAGAUCCUACUCUACUCAUCUUUACUGAUGAAGAUUUCACAAGGCUGCCAAAUCUAAGAUUCCUUGAAUUGGAUGGGGGGAGCUUUAUUGGGUACUUUACCAAUCUCUUUUCAAAGUUAAGAUGGUUUUCUUGGUGCCAUUGUCCUCCGGAUUUAAUUGCAACUAAUCUGUUCCCCCAAAAUUUGGUUGUCCUCCAACUCUCUGAAUUCAGCAACGCCGAUAAUUGGGAGGGGUGGAAGCAAAUUAAGGUAUGUAUGUUGCCAUGCAUUUUUCUUACAAUUAUAUGUCCAAUGAGACCAUGUAACGCUUUAAUCUUUUCACAGAUGCUGCACAAUUUGAAAGUUCUACAGCUGACGCGUCUAAAUAUGGUCAGAGUCAACUUGUCCGGGUGCUUUACUUUGGAAAGAUUGAUUAUUAAAGAAUGUCAACAAUUGGUUCAAAUUGAUGGCUCCAUCGGGGACCUAAAACGACUGGCUUACUUGUAUAUCGAGGGUUGCUACCAACUAGAAAAUCUGCCUGGCGAAAUUGGCUUGCUAGCGAACCUAAAGCACUUAUCUUUGAGUAACUGCUCAAAGUUAUGGGAGCUUCCGGACUCAAUGGGGAAGCUAAAUUCAUUGAUCAAGUUGGAUCUAUCGCGCACAUCAAUUAGAGGAUUACCUUGUUCUGUCGGAUAUCUUGUGAAUCUCAAGUCUUUAUCUCUUGCCGGAUGUAGAGAGAUGAGAGAACUUCCUUAUUCGGCUGGAAACCUAGAGUCUCUAAUUGAAUUGGAUCUUUCAUUUACGUGCAUCAAAGUGUUACCUCAUUCUAUUGGAAAUCUAAAGACUUUGAACAUGAUAAACAUGAAAGGUUGUCGGCUAGUAGAGUUUCCUUCGGCCAUUGGGUUGGCAUUGAAGCUUGAAGUGGUACGUGCUGGAUGUUGUCCUAUGGUGGGCAAAGUUUCAAGUGAAAUUGGGAAGUUGUCCUUUUUGAGAAUCCUAGAUCUAUCAUACACUUCCAUUCGUCAAUUGCCAGAAACAAUUCGUGUGCUCCCUCACCUAGAAGAACUGAUCCUCAAAAAUUGUGAUAAGCUGCAAGUGUUGCCUUCACUUCCCACAAGUUUGACUCAUCUAACUGUUAGUUCUUUGGCAUUGCAGUCUGUUCCAGAUCUCUCAAACCUGACUAAUAUAGUUAAUCUUCUCUUAUCCAAUGGCUGUGACUCUCUAUCGUCACCUUCAUCGAGCCUAGUCCAAACUAUCAACUUAGAGUGGAUUGGGAAGCUAUUUAAGUUGGAAAAUUUGGAACUGCGUCUUCCAAACGUGACCAUGUCACCAACUGCAUUGGGUUCCCUUUCUCGUCUAAGGCAACUUUACAUGUGUGGCCAUCUGCACCCAAAGUUUCUCGUGCAGCCCCCUAAAUCAGCAAUGCAGGGAAAUCUCAGCUCAGUAACAACUUUCCCAGGUUCAUCCAACUUGAGAAAUCUAAUGAUUUUGAAGCUCUAUCGGUCUUGGGGAGAGGAAAUCCAAUUUGGCGGUUUAGAACAGUUGAGACAUUUAACUGUCCAUGACUUUUCUGUCCUUAAAAGAAUAAUAUUCUCCCUGUCAGGCCUGAAGAAUAUAAAAGAAUUGGAACUUCAUGGCUGCCUGAUGUUGAGAGAUUUACAAGGUUUUGAGGCAUUGGAAACAUUGGAGAACCUGAAGGUGGAGCGCUGUCCAUCAAUUAGUAGGUUAAGUGAUCUGUCGAGAUUUCAAAAGUUGAUGGAAUUGAAAAUCACAUGUUGCGAUGACCUACAGAUUUUAACAGGUCUUGACGAGUUAGGAUGUUUGAGUCUCUUUACAGUGAUUUCAUGCCCCUCCUUGGAAUAUUGGACAAAUGCAUCAGACACGAUGAUACCAGAUGAAUGCCAAGUGAUAAUUCACCAUUGUAUGAAACUAGGCAACACUCCUAAGGAUGGCAUGCUUUACAAGGAUUAUAGAGAUAAGACUCUUGGAAGGAUCAAGUCUGAUUUUGAUAUGCGCACAUCCUACAGUAUGGACAAGGUGCUUUUCCUUCUUAUUAAUCUUUAUCAUUAUGAAAAAAACCUUAAUUUAGGAUGUAUCUAGAAGGUACCAGUGGGGGGGCCGAAAAGCUAAGGAAAAUAGACACCACAUGUCAAUCACAGUGCAAUCAACUAUAGAAAAAUGAAAUAAAAGAAAAACUUGAAUGCAGUGGAUUGCCUCUUUGGUUGUUUGUAUAAAAAACAAAUAUGGAUGAAACUAAAAGGAAAAUCAUAUUGUAAUUUGAUUAGAAUAAGGAAACUUCUGAAUCAUUUGCACAAAAAAAGUACUUCUAUAUAUAUUGCAACUCCUAUAUCGAUUUAUGUUAGGUAACGAUAAUAAUUAGAGGGCUUUUAUGUUGCCUGUUUCUUCAAUUGUCCAUCGUCCUACUUGGAAAACUGCUCAUUAAUGCAUAUUGAGUAGAUUAAUUAGUAAAAGCAGAUCUAGGGAGUCAUUACUUAUUGGACUUCUUAUUAAUGGUUGAGAUACUCCCAACCUCCACCAGCAAGCAGCAACGGAGUAUAUCGUAACAUUUGGAUCUGUUUAUAGGGGGUCAGGACUCCUCAAAAGAUGAGACUAACUAAUGUGUUUGGAUAUUGAUGAUCACAUUUGUCCUUUUCUUAAAAACAUCAUAUAUGGAUCUCAUGUCAAAAUAUUCAAAUGCGAACUGCAAAAACUAGAAGAGUAGUUGCAGCUAAUCUAUUUACUCUAUAAUUGGGAAAAGGAAAUCAACAAGUCAAUACCAUGUCUAACAAACUUUGAAUAAUCCAAUUGAUACUGUGGUGAAAAAUUUUCUUCAUAUCAUCACUUAAAUUGAGCGUGCAUAUCUGUAUCAUUAUAUUAAGUAAAGAGGAUCUCCUACUUUUAAACGAUCGCAAUCCUUUUCUCCUAAAUUGUCCUCAAUUAGCUAUUUCAUAAGUAUUCUUAUCAAGGGAUAAAGGCGUAAAUUGAUAAUUCUAUUAUCUCAUGUAUUUCAUUUUUAUUUUUUCCUCUUUGAGGAUAUCUCUUUUGGUUCAGUUGUUUUUAAUUUGGUCAAAAGUUUAUUUCAUCUUAUCUAAACUCAACUAAGCGGUGUUAUGGCUUUAAUGCAUUUGUGUCAAGUGUCAAAUGAGCCACUGGGGGUGGGGAUGCUAUUAUAAUAGGUGCGGGGUUUGACUGUCGCGCUUUGCAAAGAGUCAGAGAAAGUCGGAGUGAGAUGAGAGUUAAAGAUAGGACAAACCAAAAUGAAAAUUGGUCAUUUCUUUUUUAUAUCUCUACUUUUAUUUGGCACUUUUUUUUUAGAAUGGGUAGCGGCACCAAGUGUUAAAGAACUGCGAAUUUUAAUUUUUUUUUUCCUUUGCUUUUUUCUUAUUCUUGCUUCAAUUUAUAUUAAUGUGUGUUUUCACAAAUUUUAGUAGAUAUUAUAUGUAAAACUCAAUCUUUGUUAGAGAAACUAUUUUUUCCUGAAAGUUAAGCUAUUAAAAACGGAUCAAUAAUGUAUUUAUAGCAUGUGCUUUUGCACUUCCCCUAGGCUGUAAGCUGGUCCUUACACUCACAAAUGAUAAUUAUAACAAAAAACACAAUUUAAAUUCACAUCAAUAUAUUUAGACUUAGGUUUGCGCUAGGUAGAUGCAUUUUAUGCAUUUCAAGAAGGGUUACAAUUAGAAAAAGCCAUAACAUGUGCUUACAGAGUUGCAUAAUCUGCAAAUUUUGAGGAAUUUGACAUAAUAUCUAUGAGAGAGAAGUGUUAUUUUUUUAUUCAGUAAUGUUCUAUAUAUAUAUACCUAAAGCUCCUAAAGACUAUUUUACCCUUAUACUCUAAUAUACCCUAACACUUCCUCUCAAGUUGGAGCAUAGAUAUUAAUCAUGCUUAGCUUGUUACAAAUAUAAUCUAUCCUCCCAUUACCCAGAAGUUUAGUAAAAAUAUCUACAAGUUGCUCCCUAGUUCGAACAUGACUUGGAAGAGUCAAUCCACUCUGUAACUUCUCUCAAAUAAAAUGACAAUCAACCUUAAUGUGUUUUGUUUUCUCAUGAAACACGAGAUUUAAAGUUAUAUGCAUUGCAGCUUUAUUAUCACACCAUAGGGUCAUAGGAGUUAAAAGUUUUGAAACCUAACUCGAUCAAUAACAGUUGAAUUCAUAGUAAUUCACAUGUCACUUGUACCAUGGCUCUAUAUUCUAACUUGGCACUGGAGCAAGCAACAACACUCUAUUUCUUACUCUUCCAUGAUACCAGAUUCCCUCCAACUAGGGUACAAUAGCCUAUGGUUGACCUCCUAUCAUUUGGAGACCCUGCCCAAUCAGCAUUUGAAAAUCCUUCAACUUUGCUAUGACCGUGGUUCUGAUAAAUAAUCCCUUUCCCUAGAGUCUUCUUAAAGUACUGCAAUAUACAAAUAAUUGCGUCCCAAUGAGACAUUCAUGGGGAAGACAGAAAUUGGCUUACCACACUGACUAGAAAAGCAAUAUUUGGACAAGUAACUGUAAGAUGAUUAAGUUUACCCACAAGUCUUCUAUAUCUCUCAAGAUUAUCAAAGAUCUCCCCAUCCUUAGCGGUCAAUUUAGCUCCUUAUUCCAUAGGUGAAUCAAGAGGCUUUGAUCCCGACAUACCUGUUUGAGUAAGCAAAGCCAAGAUAUAUUUUCGUUGUGACAAAACAAUACCUUUCUUUGACUAUGCAACUUCAAUUCCUAGGUAAUACUUCAAUUUUCCCAAGUCUUUAGUCUGAAACUAGUGCUAAAGAUAGAUCUUUAGCUCAGAUAUACCAACCAAGUCAUUUCAUGUGAUGAUAAUAUCAUCAAUGUAUACAAUCAAGAACAGUUUGCCUCCCCCUGAAUGUUUAUAAAAGAAAGAGUGAUCAUUCUCACAUCUCGACAUUCCAAAAGAAAGUAUGGCCUCAGAAAAUCUUCCAAACCAUGCUCGUGGGGAUUGCUUCAAACUAUAUAAAGAUUUUUUUUUUUUAAUUUGCAAACCAGUCCCUCAGACUCCCCUUGAGCAACAAAUCCCAGAGGUUGCUCCAUAUAAACUUCCUCAUUAAGAGUAUCAUGCAAGAAAGCAUUCUUAACAUCAAGCUGAAAUAAGGGCCAGUUAUUUGUGGCAGUAAGAGAUAUCAAAAUUCAAACAGAAGUAAGUUUGGCAACAGGAGAAAAAGUGUCCAAAUAAUCAACUUGAUACACCUAGGCAUACCCUUUGGCAACAAGUCUCGCUUUUAAACAAGCAAGAGAAUCAUCAGGAUUGACCUUCACAGCAUACACCCAUCGACAACCAAUAGCAGUUUUGCCUAAGGAAGAGGUACCAAAUCCCAAGUUUGAUUCAUUUCAAAAGCCUUUAAUUCUUCUUCAUUGUUGUCCUCCAAUCAAAACUUUGUAAUGCUUUAGCUACAGACUUAUGGACAAGAUGUUGUUCAACAGUAGAUAAAAAUGACAGAAAAGGAGACACAGAAGAGUAAGAGAUAAAAUUUGCAAUAGAAUGUUGAGUACAGGCACGUAUACCUUUUUGAUGAGCAAUAGGAAGAUCAAAAUCAGAUACAAGAGAAGAGUUUAAUGGCAAAUUUGACACCCCAUAUUAUUUUUUAAAUCGGGUCAUUUUCUCUAUUACUAAGUUAUGAGGUUUUAAUGUAUGCUGUCCUUCAUAUCCACAUGUGUCAAAAGAUCCGCUAGUCGGUGUAUAGAUAAGAAAUUUGAAAGCCGGAAUUAUUUGCCAAAACACAUCAGCAAAAUAAAAAUCGAUCAGUCCUGAAACUUGGAUUUCCUUUAAAAUAAUGUGGCGAUAACUUUGAUCACUGGUAGAUCAGGAUGAACAGUGACUUUGUAUAGUAGACGGUAUAUGCAAACGCACGGACUAUGAGGUGUCUGCAUUUCUGUAGUAACGUCNNNNNNNNNNNNNNNNNNNNNNNNNNNNNNNNNNNNNNNNNNNNNNNNNNNNNNNNNNNNNNNNNNNNNNNNNNNNNNNNNNNNNNNNNNNNNNNNNNNNCAUAGUUACUUCUUCUCAUCUUGCAGCCUUGUCUAUGAGGAAUCAUCGUGUUUCUUGUCGGUGGCAGAAAUGGAAAGGGCAAGACAGUUUGCACCUAUCGAAAAAGAUGUCGGAACUGAUGAUCAGGUAAAACACAUCAUGAGCUUGAUGAAUAUUGAUGAUAAGGACAAGCGGAUCAUUGUCGUCAUCCAUGGAGAAGGUGGGACUGGCAAGACGACUCUCGCAAAACUCAUAUACAACCAAGUCUCCUCUGAUUUUGAUGGAUCUAGCUUCCUCGCAGAUAUUAAAGAAACCACUCAAGUAUUUGGUCUUCGGCCUUUGCAAACUAAGUUGAUUUCCGAUGUUCUAAAACGGGAACCUGAGGAUGUUGCUUUUGUCAACAGGGGAAUUGGAUCUUUUGGGGACUUAUUUUGUGACAUGAGAGUCUUAAUUAUCCUCGAUGAUGUGGAAAAUGCGUUUCAUGUCGAGAAACUCAUGGGAGAUUGCUUUGAUUGCUUUGCACCUGGAAGUAGGAUCCUUGUAACCACCAGAAACAGUGUUGUCCUGGAAGAAUCUCCUCAGAUCCGGACAUGUAAUGUUAGUCGGUUGAAUAAUGAUCAGACUCUUCGGCUCUUUAGGCAGCAUGCAUGUGGACCGAUUUCUCCCUCAUGUAGCAACUUCUGGCUUUUGAACCAUGCUCUUAAUGCUAUGGCAGGGCUUCCGUUGUUUAUUGAAGUUAUGGCAGCAGUCUUCAAUGGUAAAAUGCAGGAGGAAUGGUGUAAAUUACUACAGCAGUCACUAUACCAGCAGUGGGAUAUUCAGAGUAUUCUGGGGGGAGGAUUUCGAGCAUUAGAUGAUAAGCAGAAACAGAUAUUUCUGGAUGUCGCUUGCUUUACCACUGGCAUAGAUAGUCGAAUUGCCUUUUACCUAUGGUAUAACCCUCCUUUUCUGCCUUCUAGCGAAAUUUUGACUCCCAUAGCCAAAAUCGGAGAAAACAAACAGAUAUGGAUGCAUAGCAUGUUGAGGCGACUUGGCAGAGAAAUCAUUCGUGGGGAGAAUCUUACAGAUCCAGGAAGGCGGAGUAGAUUAUUUAAUCAUGAAAUAGCUCUCGAUACGAUAAAGCGGAAAAAGGUGAAAGUUUAGUGUUUUUUUUAUUCUUUUUGGCAAUUGUGAAGCAUAAGAGAUACUUUUCUUAUGUUUGCCGCCGAAGGAAAAGAACUAUUUUGCCAGAUAUUGUUGGGAUCUGACCAUGUGUGCAAUUGAUGCUGUCUGUCAUUUUUCUUUAGGAAUGUUUCCUGACUGGUUACGUGUCAAGAAGAGAGACUGUCCUCACUUCGUUUUUCUCGUCUAUCACAGGGAACAGAAAAGGUUGAGGCACUCUGCCUUAACUUUCGUUGGCAUACUUCAGAAAAAUUUACAUCAGAAGAUUUUGAGAGCAUGCCAAACAUACGGUUUCUUCAAUUGGAUCAUGCAGACAUUGCCGGAGAUUUCACUAACGUUUUUCGAAAGUUACGGUGGCUCCGUUGGCGAGGGUGCCCUCAACAUUUGCAAGUAACUAAUUUUCACUUGGGAAACUUAACCAUUCUCGACUUGUCAUGGAGCAAAGUCACGAAAGACUGGGAAGGCUGGGAUCAAAUAGAGGUAGUUUACAAUUCAUUGCUUUAGCAACGUAUCUAUUCGUGAAGUGAACUAAUGCAAAUAUUUCUCCUAUUUUGCAGAUGAAGAACUUGAGAGUUUUAGAUCUUACAAGUUGUGUUGACUUAUUAGUCACUCCUAAGUUCUCUGGCUGUAAAAAUCUGGCCAUACUGAUUCUGGAGCGGUGUUCACAAUUGGUCAAGAUAGAUCAUUCGAUCGGCGAUUUGAAGUGCUUGAUUUCCCUCAAUUUGAAGUUCUGCACAGAGCUCAGCAUGUUGCCGGUAGAAAUGGGUCAAAUGACAGCUCUGAAAGAGCUUCUCAUGGACGGCACUACGGUAGAAGAAAUUCCCAUCUCCAUUGGUCAAUUCAAGCAGCUUGAAACUCUAACUGCCUUAAACUGCUUAUUAUUGAGUCAGCUACCAAGAACGAUUAGUCGCCUGACGAAUCUCUCACUUCUUUCCCUGGAUGGCUCCAGAAUUGCAGCACUUCCCGACUCUGUUGGAGAACUGAUCAGACUUAAUCACUUGUCGGUAAGGGAUUGCCAUCGAAUAAGAAAACUUCCAAACUCCAUUGGCAACAUAGGGAUAUCCUUAGUCGAGUUAGAUGUGUCGGGGACAGGUGUUUCCAAGUUUCCAAAUUCAAUGAAGUAUCUGCAGAAAUUGAAGGUGUUGAGAAUGGAUUCUUGUUUCUUUAAAGAGUUUCCUCCUGAUAUCGGAGAGCUGACCAGCCUCGAAGAAAUACACGCCUCCUGGUGUCGGAGUCUCGAGGGGGGCAUUCCGAGCGAGAUCGGAAAACUGCAUAAUUUGAGAAUCUUGAGACUGCGACAUUCGACUAUUUCCAGCAUACCGAUGGAGAUCCACCAACUUUCCAAUCUUCAAACCCUUGACUUACUUCACUGUGACAUGAUCAAAGAGUUACCAAGGCUUCCCUCUAGCAUAAGGAUGUUGCAUGUAGAUGAUGAACUGAAGUCUAGAGAGAUCUGGAAACUUCAUAAUUUGAGGCUGCAACGAUUCAGUACUUCCACAAUACCGGCGAUGAUCAAACUUUCCAAUCUUCAAACCCGUCAUUUACUUCACUGCAACAGGAUCAAAGAGGCGCCAAAGCUUCCCUCUGGCAUAAUGGAUUUGCAUGUAGGUGAUGAACUGGAGUCUAGCGUGAUCUGGAAUCUGCAUAAUUAUGGGCGGUAUCGUUUGAGUACCUCCAGCAGACCGGAGGAGAUCCAACUUUCCGGCAACAUGAUCACAAAGUUGCCAAAGCUUCCCUCUAGCAUAAGGGAUGUGCCCAGGGAUGGGCGAGGUCUAGGUGGUUGGGUUCCACCCUUGAGUCGGGAACCGGCCACCAAGGAUUAGUUCCGAAAAUUUGAAACCGAACGGCCGGUCCGGUUUUCCAUGGAAUCAGCUGGGGGAGGGGGUGGAGGAGGAGGGGAAGGGCGGGCACAGGUCGUCGUGGGGGAUGGAGCAUAGGUGGUAGAGGGCGAGGCGAAGGUCGAGGUGGAGCGGGAGAGAAUGGUGAGGGGAGAGAGGGAGAGCGAGAGGUGGGUCGAGAGAGUGAAGAUGUUGGAGAGAAAAUCUUAAAAUCUCUCGAGAGAAAGAAUAGACACAAACAGUGAAUGAUAAUGGACGGAAACAGUGAAGUACGGAGAACAGAGAAUAAUGACAGACAUUUUCUUUGAAGGUUCUUGUAACCCAACUCAGCGAUAGUGAAGAAACCACCAAGAACGUAGCUCUCUUUAAAGAUGGCGUUGAUCGAGGGUGCAGAGAGAAGAGAGAGAGAGAGAGAGUACCAUAUUAAUUGAAGAGAGAGAGGAUAGAGGAGUUUGAAUGAAGAGAGAGAGAGAGAGAGAAAAGUGGAGAGUUGCCGGUUGAUCGUACAAGGUUUAUUUAUUUCUGGAAAAUUUAGAGGAGAGAAUGUUGUAUUAAUCGAAGAGAGAGUAGAGAGAUGAAAUUUUUAAAAAUAUGGGUAAUGGUCAGGUCAGCCCAGUUGGAAUCGGGAAUGGGAUCAGUAUUCAACGGCUUCAAUUAAUUAGAAUGGGAAACUGGAUCGGUCUUCAUGAGAGCCGGUUUUGGGUAGGUUCGGUCCGAUUAUGGACGGUUCGAGUUCUUUUCGGUUCUUUGGCACAUCCCAAUAUGUGUGAUAGCUAGACAAGCUAUUCUGUGAUGAAGACUAGGCUCUAGAGAGCCUAGGGUAAUUCACUUCAUGUUAUAAUUCCAAAUUCGAAUGUUAACAUCACCAAGAAGAUGGGUUAUAUAUGAAAUUGCUAAUGCAGGGCUUCGAACACUCGACCUCUUAUUGGGAGAAUGAGCACUUACCCAGCAGAUAAAUAAUAAAAAUUCAAGAAAGAGAUAAAUAAAUAAACUACCUAAUUUUCCUUUUUUUGUUUUUUUUUUUUUGUUUUUUCCUCUUUUCCCUUUUUCAAACACAACUUGCUCGUGCGGCUGGUCUCCGGGCAACGGGUCGUCGGUCCGGUGGCGGAAGUGCAGGCUCGAGCUGAGGCUGCAGUGGUCUUCGGCUUCGGGUGGCGUCGGUAGUGGAGAUGCCUGGCAGCAAAGACGUCACUCAGACGUGUGGGGGCUCGGAUCUGGGCCUGGCGUCGCGGGUCAGCAGCAAGUCGAGGGCGAGAUCGGCGCUCCGGUGCGGUAGAUCGGGCUCCGAGCGGAUGCGGGGACUGAGCAGGGGGCAGUGAUGGCGCGGUGUGGCGUGGUGUCCAGCGGGGAGGUGGUCUGCUGUGAACGUUGAUGCAGGGGUGGCGUUGGGCGGCAACGGCUCGUCGGAAUCGUGGGUCGGCGCGGCACGGUGAGGAAAGCGGUAGCUUCACCGGACUCCAGGCUGGGCAGAUUCGUGGUCAGAUCAGGGGCAGAGCAGAUGCGUGCGGCAGCAGCUCGGACCACCGGCAAAGGCCGUCGCGGGCCGAGAAACUUCAGGUGCAGGCGUAGAUCGGAAGCGGGGCCAUCUGGUGUGGUGGCGCGGUGAGGCGGCGCCGCGGGCGGUCUGAGAUGCGGUCGCUGGACGCCGGGCGCGGCGGUGCUCACAGCUGCGGAGGCGCGACGGAUCGGGCGGCGAGGGAGUCCGAGCGGCUUGCGGUUUGAUGGCGUCGGCGCAGCGCGGGCGCGGGUGAAGAGAAGCCGGCGACCGGGACAUCGGAUGGGUGCAGAGAAUGUGGGGAAGACGAUGAACAGUAAAUGUCCAAUCACUUCCUCCCCUCUGCUGCUUCUGCUUUUACUUUUUACUUUUCACUUUCCUCCACUUUUUUUGCUUUUCUUUUCAGUCGACCAAAAGAAACCUUAGAAAAGCCCCUUUUUUAACAUUUUCCGUGCAUUCAAGGAAACAAUGCAAUCUUUUGUAAUAUUUCAUCUCUACAAGAUGCUUAUAACUCCUACGGUCACGAAAAUCUUUCUAUUCCCGAUAUUCUUCUACUGAUACUNNNNNNNNNNNNNNNNNNNNNNNNNNNNNNNNNNNNNNNNNNNNNNNNNNNNNNNNNNNNNNNNNNNNNNNNNNNNNNNNNNNNNNNNNNNNNNNNNNNNAGAUAAGAUUGCAACCAGGAUUUUUUUUAAAUUCCCAAAAUUUCUCCUUCAAAUCUUCAAUUUUAAAAAAUGGGCUCGGGCCAAUUUAUAUUCUUCAUGGGCGUUAGUCCAGCUUAUUAAUUUAAAACCAAAAAUCACUAAUUUAAUCCAUCCGCCACCGAUUUAUAAAUGCAAAUAAAAAAUAAAUGCACCUAAAACUAAAUGCUAUGCAAUUAAUUAAUUAAUAUUUUUUAAGUGGUAAAAUUAAUCCUUAAUUUCUUAAUGCGAUAAAUAACUAAACGGAUAGCUAAAAUUUAGGUGUCAAUAGCCCCUCCUUGCGAAAUCAACUUAGCUUCUUACUUCGAGUGAAAGUGGUUUUGCUUUUAGUUAAUAAUUGAACACCUUGAGUAAGCAUAUGAAUUUAUAACUGAUAACUUUUUGAAAAAUGAUAGAUUCUAAAUAAGAAGGCUUGUGGAGAUGCAAGGUUGUUCUAAAAAACAACAGUAGGGUUUCUAUUUGGUACUUUCAUAGAGAUUUUAAUUAUUUCGUGAAAAAUGAAUGAUUUUGAAAAUGUUUUACUAAAACUAACUCUUGUAUCGCAUACAAAAAGGAAUAAAUUUGUAAAAUAUUUUUAUCAUCCACGAAAAUUUGGACAUAAAUUAUUAUCAAUAAUGAAAAUAUUUCUCAUUAACUAAUUAUUUCAACUAAUAUAAAGGACUAUUUUUAGAAAAAUAUUUUCCAAAUAAUGUAUCAACAAAAGUGACUAUUUAAAAAAGAAAAAAACAAAGAAAAUAUUCACACGAAAUAAUGUACCUGGUUGCGGACAUUGUUCUUGUUUUAACAAAGUUGUUGGAGGGCAAUUGCUCUCCAGCCGUCAAUAGUCGAUGCUGUUUUCAGUAAUUACUUAUCAUAGUCCGUAAGAUUUUAGUUUAAAUUCCUUUCUUUUCACGAUUAACCGAAGUUACAACAUCCUUGCUAAUCUAACAUUUCUAUCAUUAUUGGUCGCAGUCUCACAGACAUUGCUCCUUGCCGAGCAAAGAUUUUGUCAACAGGUGUGUCAUGGAUAAUAGUUAAGUAAUUGAUUAAGGAAAUUUUAUUAUUUUCAUUACAUUGAUUUUUCUCGUGUUAUGCAUAAUUAGUACUUUCAGAAUUGAAUUAUCUAAAUAAAAUGUCCAAGACACUCAUUAAUAGUAAAAAUGAAGAAACAUUCGGAGUUAAAUGAUGGAUAAAGACAGAUAUCUAUGAUAACAUUCUUUUACCCACAGCUUCCUUUUAUAUUCUCAGCGAAAUUGAUUGCUUUUGACAACUCCAAAAGAAAAGUAAAACUGCAUAAAUUGAAGGAAAGUCUCCGGUCUCCUGAAGAGGAGAAGGGUGCUUAUUCAACAUGACCAACACCAUGUUUAACUAAAGUACACACCUUGAAAAUCAACACAGAUGGAGCUUUCUUGGAUGGUGCAAUGAAAGGGGUGGUCUCGGGGCUCCUUAGAGAUGAUAGAAGCGUUUUAGAGAGCGCAUGAUAAAAUUUCUAUUUCUUUAUUUCUCUAUUUCUCUAUUGCCGGGAACGAGUUUGGAACAUAAAUCUAUUUGAUAACGCAAUUUGAUUUUUCUAUUUUUGGAGCACAUUUUUAUUUCAGAAAUAGAUUUGAAGAAAAAAUCGGACUUUUCAAAUUCUGAAAUAAAAAUUAAGAAAUCAAUUUAUGGCCAUUUCUGUUCCAUAAAUUUUGUUGUGCGCAUCCUUAUUGGACGGUUUGCUAUCAAAGUUCCGUCUUUAUCGCUGAUUCAGACAGAAAUUUUGGCUCUGAUUGAAGCUCUGAAGUGAUUAGAGCCGAGGAGAGAAGAGUGAUAUGGAGGAUUGAGACCGGCUGUGCUGAGCUAGUGGACGAACUUAAGGGAAGACGCACGUGUAGUGGGAGCUGGAGACGCUGAUUGAAGAGGCUAGGAUUUGAAUGGCCCAAUUUAAGUCCAUCUCGCUGGCCCAUUUCGCGAAGGCCCAUCGUUCAAAUUCCCUUUCAUCUUUUUGGGAAUUUUAUGUUUGGAGACCUAUAUAUUGGGCUUUUUGUUUAAGAACUCUUGAAUUUCAAUGAAUAUCGAGAAAUAUUUCAACAGGGAAAAAAAAAAAUCGCAAGAUGAGAAGGAACAUGCAUGAACUUAAAUCAAACACCUCAGAGUCAAUUUGACUCUCAAGAUUGCCAGAUUUUUCCAUCGCAUGUGAUGCUCCCAAAUUUCAUCAAUGAUCUUGAGAAAAUCCUCCAAUAAUGUUCCGUUUGGUAAUAUAUUUGUAACACUAUUUGUAAAUUCUGAAAAAAGAUGAUACAAUCAUGUAAUCUGCUACUGGCCGAUCAGGUAUAUUGACAUAAAUUGGUAAUAGCGUUAGCAAAUUACCACCGUCAAUGUUCCAAUAACUUACUAAUUGUGAACAUAAAUUUAUCACUCAAAACUAUAUCAUAACGAUAGCUAGGAAUUUGCUAUCGGAUUUGUCAAUAGUAAUUUUUUUUAUUUCAUUGAUAAAUUACAACUAGUUACGUGCCCCUUGUAAAAUCUAAUAGCAGGGGUAAUCUACUAUUGAUGGAAAAAUUAUUAUUUUAUUGGUAACUUGUAAAUGGUCAAUCAGAUUGACAAAUCACCGGUAGCUAUGCAGUGGAAGGGAAGGAGCCUAAAUCAACCUCCUUAUUUUCCUUUUUAAGAAAAGCAGUACAAAGAUAUUAGACUCUUGAAUGAGACUAAGCACCCACCGACCAUUCCGACACACCUCAGACCCAUUUUUAUUAAGACCGAAAAGCUAUCUUAUCUGAAGUAGAGCCUAGUUGUUGUUGUCAAACAAAUGAUAGAAUGGAAAAUGUUGAAGAACCACCCACUAGUAGGGAUAUGGGUGGAGUCUUGCUCAAUAAAGAGAGUUGUAGAUUCAUAUAAAAGGAGAAGAGCCUUUAUUUACUUGAUAUCAAAUCUAUUAGAAACUGUCCUAAGACAUUCUAAACCUUGCCCACCUCACAAUCGAAUUUCCAUAGCCUAGCUUCCUACUAGCAACCCAAAAUAAAGGAAGGAAAACUUCCACUCGAGACAUUGCACUUCUGACUCAUUAGGAUAGCUUUAAGCAAGGAAAAUUGUCUUGCGGCUUUUACUUACCGUCGAUUUCAAAUUUACUGCCAACAUUACAUAUUUACCAUCUGCGGAACAAACUGCUUCAAUUUCAGAAAUCUGCCAAAUCAGUAUAUGGACUCAAUGCCAAAAUGCUUGAAACAUCCUGCAAUUGGGUUAGUCCAUCCAAGUAUAUCCCUAUAACAUGCUUCCCACAAUCGUCCUAAAAACGUUCGGAAAUCGUAAUCGAGGGUCUCUGCUUUGCAGCAAGAGACAGGAGAACAAAUGACAAUGGACUAACCAAGAGGGCUGGUUACAGGUCGAGAGAUGCAGAAUAUAAUGUACAGCAGUAUUAUUCAACAUGGAGAAAGCAAAAUCUACACUUCAUAUAAGUCCUGGAUGAACAGGAUGAUAGGCCUUCCUUCCAUCAACUGAAGAGACCUUGUUACACAGCAUCAAGAAGAAAAAUCUAACAGAAGUUUGGAAUAAGAACAGGCAGAAAUCACAAGGGAAGGCGCAAGGUGCGGCGCGCUUGCUUU
Molecule: long non-coding RNA, 61393 nt
Filed under: Eucalyptus grandis
Lineage: Eukaryota; Viridiplantae; Streptophyta; Magnoliopsida; Myrtales; Myrtaceae
Description: long non-coding RNA (EGRA_LNC003125)
Source: RNAcentral